CGUGAGGGGGUGUGUUGGAAUUCCGCCUUUAUUGCGGUCCGCUCCUAGUCCCACAUCAGAUAGAUAAGACUCUCGAGUAGAGUUUAUAAAGAGGAGGCACUCCUCACCUUACAAGCCGGUUUUGUAAGGAUGAGUUAAGCCUCAAAUUUCAACAUUUAUAGUCCACUUCCUCGUUGUGCUUCAUUGCAAUAUUGAUGUGUUUCCGGAUACUGAGGGUCAGUUUGGUCUUGCUGUUGUUUAUUAGAAGCAGCCUGUAGAAGCAAGUUAUAUGCCCUUGGGAAUAUAUGUUUCAAUGAAAUCCUGUUUAAUUUUUCAAGAAUUUUUUAUGUUUAUUAUUGUUUUAGAAACAAAAAGCAGAAGCCAGCUGCUGACUUUUGUUUUUGAAGUGUACUUUGCCUCUGAUUGUGAAAAGCUGCGCUCAUAAACUACUGCCAAUUUCUUAUAAGAGGCUUUUCAACACUCGGCCACCAGACUCUUAAAAUUUGUUUCUUGCUCUUAUAAUGAUUAUAAUGAUUUUGCAUAUCAGUAAAAGUAAACUCUAACUCUGCUAAAUGGAAGUUUUUAUGUAGACUUAAUAAGAAUUGGGUUAUAUAUACAUAGACUUUUCAUUUUUUCCUCACUUCCUAAACCCCGUGUUAGGUUCAUAAAUCUUAUUGGCUGUUGAGCCAUGUGAUACUUGUGGUAUUAAGAUUGAUAUAUUAAAUUUUGUUGACUGAGUAUUUUACGGGUAGUGGAACUUUUGUGCCACAGGAGAAAAAGCUGAUGGAAGAAAUUCAACGGCUUAAUGAUGAAAUGCGUGGUUGCGAUGAGAAUAUUCAGAGUCGUAAAGCAAAUAUUACUACUUUGGAAUCUCUAAUUGCUAAGUCACGUGAAAGGUUUAGUGAUUAUAAAGUAGAAAGAGACAGCCUUCAGGAUAAGAAAAAGUUCGUAUAUCUUGUCUUUUCUGUGAUGCGUACACAUGUUUUUGAUUUAAUAGUCAAUGAGAUACUUCUUAUGGUUUGAUAUUGUUUCAUUAUUGUUAUCAUCAUCAUCAUCAUCAUCAUAGGUCCUUAUGGAGCAAAGAGAAUGAACUUACUGCUGAAAUUGAUAAAUUGAGAGCAGAAGUUGAGAAGGCUGAAAAGAAUCUUGAUCAUGCGAUUCCUGGUGUGAGUAGCAUAUCUUAAAAGCUUCUUUUAAUGUGCUAUUUUUCAAUGCAUAAAGGAAAUAGAAAGAUCUUGAGAUUGAUGGCAGUGAAGGACAUCAUCACUCUCUGAUUUUGAAUAAGAUGUUUCAGGGUGUUUUUUGAGUGACGGAAUUAGUUCUCUGUAAUUAUAUAAUGGUAUUUGUGACUCAGUGUUUUGUUUAUCUAAUAUUGAGAAAUGUAGACUACUUAGCAUUUGAUAAGAGUGCCCGCUAUUAUUAUCUGUCCAGUUCGGGGAUGAUCUGUCAUGAUGAUGUUGGCAUUAUUACACACUCCCUUGUUUGAUACUCUGUACUAUAAUAUGCAGGAUGUUAGAAGAGGGUUGAAUUCAGUUCGGAAGAUCUGCAAAACUCAGAACAUUUCUGGAGUUCACGGUCCAAUUAUUGAGUUGCUGAACUGUGAUGAAAAGUUUUUCACCGCAGUUGAAGUGACAGCAGGAAACAGGUAUCCCUUCUUUGAAUAAGUAGGCUUUACCACAUGUUACAUUCAUAGGGUGUAUUUUUGUUUUGGAAAUGGGGGUGGGGUAGAUUAGGUACAUCCAUAGCAUGUAAUUUACUUUUUUCAUCUCUAGUAUCUGUUUUUGGCCUGAUCUCUUUAUUGGUAUUAUAAUUUUGCAUAUUUGCCUUGAUUUCUUAAUUUAACAAAUUUGUUUUAACAGCUUAUUUCAUGUGGUUGUUGAAAAUGAUGACAAGUCAACCGAGAUAAUUAAACACCUUAAUCAACAAAAAGGUGGGCGUGUUACAUUUAUUCCACUUAACAGAGUAAAUGCUCCUCGCGUCACUUAUCCACAGAGUUCCGAUGUCAUACCUCUUUUAAAGAAAUUGAAUUUUAAACAUGACUACACUCCAGCAUUCAGUCAGGUUAGCUUCUCCUCAACUGUUGUAUUUUAUUUACAUAUGGGUAUAUGGCAAGUUAUCUUCAGGUGAUAUGUAGUGUUAAACGUAAUUCUUAAAUGGUUUAUCUGGUUCCAUUAUAACUCUUAGAAUUUGGGUUUGGCCCAACUCAGCCAUGCAAAACUGGCUUGUAAGUUGAGAACUACCGACGACUUAUAGGCCCCUAAUCAUUUCUCAUCCAAUGCGAGACUCUUUAACACACAGACCUCAUGCCCAAGAAAUCUAGAGUGUGACCUGAGUGGUCUGGUAGCAGGUGCAGGGAUGGCUGUACUCAUACAAAUUUGGGGGCACAUACCCCACUUUGUUGUAUAAAAAUAUAUACUAUUAUUUCUUCACACAAAAAUACUAUAUAUUCAAAAAACAUAUUGUAUCUUUUGUGAUUUUUAUUUGUAGAGUUAAAUGUGAUGCCACCAAUGACAAAUACAACAGUUAAAAGAGUUUUUUUACUAUAAAUAUCAUAAAAUUUGAUAUGAAAUUAUUUGGUAUAGGAGGUCGCCGGGUCGGUUUUGUGUUUAGGUGAUAUGAUGCUGUGAUGUUUUAGACCUAUCAGGUUGCUUGCAUCAUGCAAUUUAGAUAGCAGGUUAUGUUAGGAAACAUCGUUAAUUUUUUUGAUUUAUUGUAGAGUGCAGGAUGAGAUGGAGAUUUUGACUAUUGUACAUUUUUAUUGGCUUCUAUGCACACCUUCUAUAUUGUUGUGCGCUUAAUAAAUUUUCUCCUAUAAAAAAACAAAAUAAAAUUUGGGAAAUUGUUGAAUGAUUGUUUGUUUAUUUUAUAAAGAAAUACUUUUUAUAAUAUUGAAAAUGAACACAUAUUCAAUGCUUUUAGAAUAAAAUAACCUUAAAGAACAAUUAUGAGUAUUGCCCUCACUGGUUAAUUAUUUUGGAUCCUUCAUUGAUCAGGCGACCCAUCGAAUCUUGGAUAGACUGAUACCAUCUUAGAAUUUGGGAUGAGCCUAACUCAACCCUACAAAACUGCUUUUAAGGCGAGGAGAGGACUACCUCGAACUUAGAAACAUAUUGUCAGGCCAUAUCUCAUCCAAUGUGGGACUCUUAACAAUAACAUAAUAAAAUUGAUGCAAGUUGAGCAGCAUGUUGAGUUAGGACAGUGUGACAUGAAUGGAUUAUUGUUUUAUUUAGGGGUUAUUAUGAUUAAUUAAAGGGUAGUUUUGUAAGUUUCAUUUAAUUAUUUUUAAACAAAAAUAUCAAAACCCCUUCUGUUUCCUGUAAACUGCUGGUUUGUACAUCUUAGGUUUUUAUAUUGUGCCUAACUCUUCCUUAUAAAACCGGUUGUAAUGUAAGAUGUGCCUCUCUUUACUAACUCUUUAAAGGUCUUAUCUCUUUUCAAUGCGGGACAUUUGAGUUUUGUUCAAUAUACCUCCUCCUCAUGCUUAGCACUAUUAGCUUGAUGCUUGGAUAAUUCUAUCUUAGGUUUAUAUAUUUGACCUUAGUCUUCCUUACAAAACCGAUUUGUUAGGUGAGGGGUGCCUCUCUUUAUAAGUCCUCUCUAUGCUUUAUCCCUUUUCAAUGUCGGAUUUGGGUUUUCCCUAACAGUCCAAAAGUGGGUACUAACUAAAAACCUGAAGACUACUUUAGGUAUAGAGUGAUAUGACUCAAACUUAAACGCACUACAUUAAUAAUGGCUUAAGUAUGUUUGUAGUUAGUCCCCCAAAAGUGGGUUUUUAGAAAGCAUAUUUUGGGGGACUAACUACAAACAUACUUAAGCCAUUAUUAAUGUAGUGCGUUUAAGUUUGAGUCAUAUCACUCUAUACCUAAAGUAGUCUUCAGGUUUUUCAAGGGAAUGCUCUUCCAAGAGGAGCACUUCAAACCUAAAUAUUACUUAGUCUACAUCAGCGAUGUCAUCCUCUUCGUUAUAAAGUUGCAUUAGAUGUUCCAUGACAUCAGUUAUGAUAUUUCUAUUAGGUAUUUGCUAGAACAGUUAUCUGCAAGAAUCUGGAUGUGGCUUCAAAGGUAGCUCGUACCAAUGGUUUGGACUGCAUAACACUGGAAGGUUUGCUUAGCUCUUUGCUUGUGUCUGCAUAUUGUAGAUGGUCUAUUGUUUUGUCCUGACAAAUUGUUGUCUGUCUCUAUACAGGUGAUCAAGUAAGCAAAAAAGGUAGUAUGACCGGAGGAUUUUAUGAUCACAGACGAUCAAGACUGAAGUUUAUGAAUACCAUUAAGCAGAAUGCUGACAGUAUCCACGUUAAGGAGGAGGAAUUGGAGAAAGUUAAAUUUGAGAUACAAGAUAUCCUUUAAUAUUAGUAAAUAAACACUUUGUACAUUCUCCAUUUUUUUGGGUAAGAACUCAUUAUUUAUAAACGACAUAUAAUGAAACUAAGCAAACAAAGUAAAUCCGGAGGACCUUGAUUACCAUAAAAUGUUUGAAAGAAAUAGCUCUAAGAAUGAGAAGAAAAACCAUUUGGCAAUGUGUACCCAGCAGUCAUAUUUACUUUUUGCUUUUGAUUUUUUCUGGUUAUGUUAUAAUACGUGUUUUGGCAGUAUAGAGGGAGAUGAUAUUGUUUUUCUAUAAUUUUCUGUGAUUAACUGCAACUCUUACAGACAGUGAUUUCGUUAUGGUUUGACCAUUAUUUUUUUCUGGUAUCUUGGACAUAUUCAUGAUGCUGUCUUUAAACAAAAUUUUUUAUGAUUAAGAUGCACUUUCUUGAUAGAAUUGUUUUAUUAGAAAUGUGGCAAGCUGAGUUGAAGGAAAUACAAGGUUCUUGAUAGAAUUUCUUGAUAGAAUCGCUUUUCGUUAUGUUGUUACUGCACUUUGUUCGUUACUGAAAUUCUGCGUUUCUUUUUGACCCCUAGUAUAGGGUUUGCUACAUCUGUUUCAUUCAUUGAUGAUGAUUGAUUUUACUUUUAGAUUAUUCCUUGUUUUGUCUUGUACUAAUUUUUUUUGGUAAGAGCCGCUUGAUUUGUUUAUGACGUGGUAACAUUAAGUACCACAUAUCCAUUAGUUUUGUGAUUCAUUCUGUGAUGCCUAUUUUAUUCCUUGCCGAAAAAACAUUUUCCCCUAUGGUUUUGUUUUCACUGAACUGGUCUCACAGAUAGAUCAAAAGAUUAAUGAUCUUGUUACCGAGCAGCAGAAGGUUGAUGCUCAAUGCGCUCAUAGCAAAUCAGAGAUAGAAGAGCUUAAACGGGACAUUGCUAAUUCUAAUAAACAGAAGCCAUUAUUCUCUAAAGCACUUGCCAAGAAGGUAUCAUUGAAUUUCUCAGAUUCUACUCAAUUACCACUCAUGAGCUUCCUUUCUAUUGGUAGUUGCUUGUGAGAUUGUUCACUGCUAAUUGCUUUUUAUCUUUUCCGAAAUAACUUGUAGGAGAAAUCACUUGAAGAUGUUCAGAAUCAGAUUGAACAGCUUAAGGGUAGCAUUGCUACGAAAAAAGCUGAGAUGGGCACAGAGCUCAUUGAUCAUUUAACACCUGAGGAAAAAAAGCUUUUGUCUGAUUUGAACCCUGAAAUCAAAGACCUUAAAGAGAAGCUUGUUGCUUGCAAGACUGAUCGCAUUGAGGUUAUUGAGUGAAUUAUAUUGAUGUUCAUAAUAUGUAUAGGGCUAUCUAUUCUAUUGUCUCCAUUUUAACUUCAAAUUUUGCAGAGUGAAGCACGGAAAGCAGAGCUGGAAACUAAUCUAACCACUAAUCUUAGGAGAAGAAAACAAGAGCUGGAGGCUGUGAUAUCAUCUGAUGAUGAUGAGUCUAUGGUUGCUGAUGCCAAUUCCAAGAGGGAGGAACUUAAUGAUGCAAAAGUAUUGGUUGAUGAUACAUUAGAUCAGCUUAAAAGUGAGAACGUCAGCCAAUGUUGUCUUAUAUCUAUAUCUUGAAGUUCAAAUUGUCACUCCUUGUUUGACCAAAAUUUCUUCUUCAGGAGUUUCUGAUAGUAUAAAUAAUCGAAACAAGCAAAUUGCAAAGAUCAAAGAUGAAAUUAAUAAAUUGAAGGUAUUAUUCUUUUAAAUUGUUCAAUGGUUACGUGUUGUUGGUCCUUAAUGAUGAAGUUAUUUGGCUGCAGUCUAUGGAGGAGGAGUAUAAUAGAAGACAUCAGGAAGAAGCUAAAGAAUUAGAGCAAUUGCUGGGUAGAAAAAGUGAAUUUUCUGCUAAAGAAGAAAAGUAUACCAAGAAAAUAAAGGAACUUGGCCCAUUGACAUCAGAUGCUUUUGAGUCGUAAGUUUUGCCUAGCAGCUUACUUUUACUUAUUUUUUUUAGAGGGAUAGGAUAAAAGAUGAAUUAUAUUCUGAAAAUAAAUGAAAUGACAGUUAAAUUAUAGAGAGCACUUAAGCACAUCGUUUUCUUCACGGAGGUUAUCACUUUAUGUAAACUUCCAAGUAGCAACAUUUCAUUCUCACUUCAAAGUUGACAGCGUCUGCUUCCUAAGAAAGCCUUGUGCCUUGCAAAUACUCCAAACUUCUCUGCAAAGUCACAUUUUCCUGAAAAUCAUAUUCCUUUCUACUCAAGCGUCAUUUAAAUAUGGCAUGGCUAAUCCUUGCACUUAUGUAGACAGAAGUUUUAUUUAAAAAAAAAAGGCCAAGAGCAUUCUCUACUUGUUAUCCAUCUAUUGGUUGUGUUUUAUAUUUUUCAAUGAAUAUUUUCGGUCUAGAUUUUGUGAUAAACUUGAUCGUGUUGCCUUGAUAUUUUAAAUGUUUCAUCAAGAGAUGUGGUUUAUGGUUUCUACAUUAUAGUUUACCUUUUUCUCUGCAGUGUGGUUUUUGCCAAUUUUAUUUGACUCUUCCUUUUUUCAUCGGACAUGAUAGGUUCAAACGGAGGAGUAUUAAAGAUUUGCAAAAAAUGCUGCACAGGUGCAAUGAUGAAUUGCAACAGUUUAGUCAUGUCAACAAGAAAGCACUCGAUCAGUACAUAAAUUUUACAGAACAAAGAGAAGAACUUCAGAAAAGACAAGCUGAACUUGAUGCAGGAGAUGAGGUAUACUGUCAUUCCAGUAUAGGAAGUUCUUCAUAAUUGUUUCCAAAGAUACAAAAAAGUCUUCAAUGGCCAAUUUUGCCUGACAAGUAUUGCUGGUUCUGCACUUUAUCAUCUAAAGGUUUUCGAACAAAUGAUUUUUCAUGGCUGUGAAUGCUGUUGCAGUUUAUGUGUCUAUGAAGUCGUCUUGUUGAAUAUUCACCUGCAUGUGGAAUGACCUAUAUUUGUGAUAUUCUUUUGAUUGAGUUUCCAUUUUUUGAUGUAUCAUGCCCUGUAAUGUAGUUUUAAUGUGAUUUUUGGUUUUAAGUUUGGGUUUGAGUGUAGGACUGAUUCAAUUCCAACUUUUGCAUUUGUGAUUGUAUUGUAUACAACAUUGCUAAUUUUUUUUGACUUUUUUGCCGUUAAAUAAUUGCAGAAAAUCAGAGAGCUAAUAUCAAGUCUAGAUCAACGGAAGGAUGAAUCAAUAGAGCGCACUUUCAAAGGUGUUGCUAGGCAUUUCCGAGAAGUAUUCUCUGAACUUGUACAGGGGGGCCAUGGUCAUCUGGUUAUGAUGAAGAAGAAGGUUUGUUGCUAGUAAUUAAUGUCUUAGCUUCUCCCAUCAAUUUUUGUGAUUGCAUUGGAUAGAGAAAGGUGAUGCUUAAUAGUUUGUUUGUUAUAUGUGUUGUGUGUUGUAUAAUUGUUCAAAAUAAUAUAGCAACAGAGAAUUAUUAUUUCAGUAGAAGAGCACUCCUUUUAUAGGAGAAACACUUAAAUGUCAACUUCUCAAAUUUAGGAGUGAUAUAUUCAACAAUAAAAAUAAAUUUCCAUCAUGCCUACUUUCUUAUUAGAUGCUCAAGUGUCAGCCUUGCUAAAUUCUAAGUUAAAUGCCAUCUUUUAGUUGAUUUUAAGGCAAAAUGGACGAGCAUAAAAUUACGGAGUCAAUUUUUCAUUUAUAAAGUGACGAUCAACUUCAAUAUGCUUUGUCAUGCUGGAUGACAUUCUGGGCUAUGCUUAUUGCGGUUUUCACAUUACAACUUCAACAGGAGUUCUAGCAUCAUCUUUUGUUCCUUUAGGACUAUAUAUAUCCAUAGGCCCUUACAAAUUCCCUGGGCCAUUGCUCUAAACCCGGCUUUCGUGCUACUUCUGGCAACCGAUCUUUGUUUCUUGCUUCUCCAACUUACCAAGUUUCCCUACACGAAGGUACAAUAACAUAAAGAAGACUUCCUAUCUUUUACAGAACCCUUCCAGUCUAUAUUAGUAAAAAUAGCCACAUUCUUAUCAUUGGUUUUUUCAAAGAAUAGACCCUUUUCUGGGGUAGCUUUUACGUAUCUCAAUUCUAUACAGCCUCAAGAUGAUUUUCAUGAGAGUGCAUAAACUGACUGACAACACAGACGGGUAAGGCAAUAUCAGGACGGGUAUGGGCCAAGUAUACCAAUUUUCCAACCAACUUCUAGUAUCUCCCAAUAUCAACAUUUCUUUUUUCAUUAAGUUUUGCAUUUGGGAUCCAUAGGAGUAUUGGCUAGCCUUCAUUUCAAUCACUCAUUCUGGUUUCCUGCAAGAGGUCAAGAGUGUAAUUUCAAUGAGAAACUAAUAUUCCUUUCUAUAUAUAGUCUCUUCCAUGCCAGGAAAGAGAGCCUUUUAUUGGAGGAAUACAUAAUGUCAACUCCUCAAAUUAAUGAGUGAUAUAAUCGUAAAAUGAAAACUGUUAUCAAUAAUUUAGACUAAGAAUAUUCUAGUAUUCUUCGAGAUUUGUUUUUCUUCACAUCGUUAAAUUUGUAUGCUUUCAUGUCAAAACUGUUUUCUUGCUUCUGUUUGCAUGUGGCGUUUGAUUAUUGAGUUAUUUCCAUGUAUUUACACAAUGUGGCGUUUGUGAGAGUAAUCUCCAAGAGAUAAAUUGAUGUUUUACCUUCGUUACUGUAACUCAUGCAAAUGAUAUUUCUAUAUUUUAUUUCCUCUCUUAGGAUGGUGAUCACGAUGAUGAUGAUCAAGACGAGGAUGGUCCUCGGGAACCAAAUCCAGAGGGGAGAGUAGAAAAGUACAUUGGAGUGAAAGUGAAGGCAAGCGUAUUUGAUUUUUACAUUUUAUUUUUAUUUAUGUAAUGUAUGUACAACCUUUUGAAUGUUUAAAGUCAGAAAACGGCAUGGUGUGUAGAAUAUUAAUGUUCAUGUCUUGAGAUAUAUUUAGUUAUUUUGUUUUCUUGUUGGCAUUUAGAGAUGAAUUACAUUCAAUUGGCAGCACAGUAAAAAAAAAAAAAGAAAAAUUUGAUAUCAUUAAACAAAGACGUGUCCUGUUUUCUGACCCUUAACUGUUCUGUCUACCACAUUUUGGUUGGGGAUUUGGGUUUCUUCAGUGGCUCUUCAUUAAUCCUAGACAUGUUUAUACCUUGCAGGUUUCUUUUACUGGACAAGGGGAAACACAGUCCAUGAAACAGCUAUCGGGAGGUCAAAAAACUGUUGUUGCCCUUACACUUAUCUUUGCCAUACAGAGAUGUGAUCCAGCACCCUUUUAUCUAUUUGACGAGAUUGAUGCAGCGUUGGAUCCUCAGUACAGAACUGCUGUUGGAAGUAUCCAUUUUAUCAUUGUGGGUGCUAUUUGUCAUGCCCAAUGUCUGUUCUUGCAUUAUUCCAUCUGCAUGCUGCACCUGCCACUUCAUAUAAUGUUGCAUUGCAUAUUAGAGGUGAAGGUUUCAGUUGCACGUAGAGGAUCUUUGACCAUUGGAAUAUAUAAACCUUAUGGUUCCUUAUCAUUGAACAUGCAACCCAUACUCGGUUUGUGUUCUUUUCCUCAGCUAUUGCUAACUAAAUUCCUCAUAGCAUGAGUUAUUUUGUUGCAUUUAGUACUUCUGUUAGGAACACAUGCACAUUAAAAGAGACAACUGUGCAAGAGAAAAAUAUAUAAUUUCAAGUAAGUUUCAAGAAGCAAGCUACACAAGGCUUGAAUAGAGAAAUACUUACAGAAAUGGUAUGUGACAUGAUAUAUGGUAGGGUAUUAAGUGUCAUUUGGUCCAUGUCAGUGGUAAAAAACAUUUGUUAUUGUUUAUUUAUUACUGUUAGGUGGACUUGUGAUAUUAGAAAUCUGUUCAUGGUUGUGAUACUCUUUAGUAACAUCUAGAUUUCCUUUUAUACUCUCGUUCCUUUGGGGAUCCUUGACUUUAAUAGACAUGAUACGGCGCCUGGCAGACAUAGCAAACACUCAAUUUAUCACGACAACAUUCCGUCCAGAGCUAGUGAAAGUUGCCGACAAGAUAUAUGGAGUGACUCACAAAAACAGGGUCAGCCGUGUUAAUGUUAUAUCCGAAAAUGAUGCUCUAGAGUUCAUUAAUCAGGAUCAGACACAAAAUGCUGAAUAAGGUAAACACUAAACACUAUAACUUCACUAUUUCUCUUUCCGAUGUUUAUGACUGUGAUGAAUGCUCGUCACUCUUAUUUGGGGCUAGACAAAGUGGAAGAAACUCGUAUUCUUGUGGUAGACAAACUGAACUCUUAAUUUUUCUGGAAAAAUGAUAAACUGUGUUAGAAUUACGCCAUUGAUGAAUGUUAGGGAAAAAUGUUAAUCCCUAGGCUGGUAUGACAGCUAUCUAAAGCUUGCAAAGCAAGAUAAUACUAGUAUCUCUAAACUACUUACAAGGCUUUAUAAACUAAAUUGUUUAUUUUUUAUUUUUGGGGUAACAAACUGAAUUGGUAUGAACUUAUUAUUUCCAUUUUUAAAAUUUAUCACACCAUUUUAGUCAAAUACAUAUUUAUGUUCAACGUCUGUUUAUGGGGAGCCCCUAAUAUGGACCCUUAUUUUUAGGGUCUACCCAUAGUCCUUUGUAAAUGACCUGCAAUAGCGGGUAAUUACACUUCCACUCCAGUAUAAAUUUGGUACAAUUCACCUUUCUGUUAUUUUGCCAUCCGUUUCAAGUCUAACAGGAAGAACAACUUCCGCACAGAAUGUAACAACCACAUAAUGCUUCAACCUCUUAGUUAAAAACUCGAACCGGUUUAAGAAAUCCAGAUUAAAAGAAAAAUGGUUUGCUCUGAAAUGCUUGAUCCAUCGCGACAGCUGAUUCAAAACCACAGCUUCACGACGUUUUCUCUGCAUAACAUCCCAGGUCCUCCAUGGAGCCAUUAAUUUUGUUCCAGUUAACAAACUUGACUUCGGGUUCUGUAUGAAAGUGAUUAUCAUGGAGAUGUUAUGCGGAGAGCGUGAGAGCGUUAAUAGUUGCAAUCACGGUAGCGGCGUUUGCCCUUUUUCUCGAAAAAUGGAUUGAAGCUUUUCUUUUGAGACCUUAUUCAAAUGCUAGAGUUGCAAUGGAAUCUCAGUUCGACUUAAUGGCUAUGUUAAAUUGUUGAAUUCGAAUUUAAGCUUUUGAGACCAUUUUGGAUGGCUAUGUUAAAUUGUUGAAUUCGAAUUUAAGCUUUUGUUGAAUGAUGAAAUUAAAGUUGUGGAAUCAAGGAUUGAGCUUGUUGUGAAUUAGAUGAUUCGCUUGUUUUGAUUGCAAAAGCUCACUCACAUUAAAGAUUCAUAUGGAGGCCAUCCAUGUAAAUUGAGAAGGAAGUGUGUUUACCCACUAUUGCAAGUCAUUUAGCAAGGACCAUGGGUGGGUCCUAAAAAAAAGGGUCCAUAUUAGGGGCUCCCCGGUUUAUGAAUUGUUGUUAUUUAUUAUAAAGAAAAGUUAAUAUUUAAUUUAUUUGGUUUAUAUUUAUAUUUCUUGCCUUCCCUUUUAAUAAUAUCAUUUUUUCUCAUUAUCUCUCAUGUAUUAUUAGGUGUACUAUUCGCAUGGUCCGACCUAUAUCAGCUCUCCAACCUAGUUGUCAAACUCUCCAACCUGCUCUUUUGUGAACUGCUGCUACCAUAACAUAGGCCUUAGUAUCAGAAGUUUGAUAACCCUUCAUUAAUUUUUGUAAAUCCUUUUUAAUAUCUUCUGCUUACCGUGAUAACCGUAGAUCCAUGGAGAAGAUCAGGGUCUGUAUAUUUUAUUUGACUCCGUUUCAUUUGAAAAAAUGUAACGGUUGUUCGAUGUUUGAUUUGAUGUGUUUAGGGCGAAAAAAAUGACAGGAUAAAAGAAAAUAUUAACACUUUUUUAACACCUUUGAUUGAUUAAAAAGCCAGCGACUCCUAUGUACAACGUAAAAUAUUUUACGAGAAUUCCGCAAAUUGUUCAACCACACCGACUUUGACUCUCCUUCAAAGAAGUCUUACCCAUCCUCUAACCGAACCUGAUUCGCUCAAAUCUCCAUCACUUUAGCCUCUCCCUCCUUUCUCUCAUCGUAAACACGAGCUCCUCAGGCUUCAACGACCACCAAAGUGUUCAAUUUACCUUGAAAUGGUUUGCCGUCGUUGGACGAGCAUCCAUGAAAUGUUAGAGAUCCUCGACUGCAGAGCAGUCUUUGCUACCCGUCACCAUAUACCAUCAAUCAAAUUAAAUAUUAAGAUAAACAAUCAAACUGUCACGUGGGUCUCCAAAAAUCACAAUCCUUAACAAUAUAUAAUUUGCAAUAUGAAGAUUAAUUGAUUUAUUAUUUACAGCCUUUGAAAUCUCCUUUCUGAGAUCAGUUUUAGACAAUUAAUUAAUAAUCUAAUCAAACAAUAAGGGAGGCUAUGGAAGGAGUUACUAAGGUGAUGAGAUGCAAUGGUAAAUAGCAAAUGAAUAGGCAGAUGAAAUCGCCUUCUUCACAGAAGACACUCAACAAGCGUGUGAUUUUAGUAGACACAUCAUUCGCGAGUUGUUCGUGGUUGUUUUUGUUGCAGGCUCGCAGCAUUUUUCUAAAAUAUAUGUUGACAUCAAUCAUUAAAUAUAGGGUUAAAUAUGUUUUUGGUCCCUAUAAAUAUACCAACUUUUCGUUUUAGUCCCUCUAAAUUUUUCCUUCAACUUUUAGUCCCUGUAAAAUUUUCAAUUACUACUUUUGGUCCCUAUUUUUAAGUUAAUUUUUGUAUUUUUUAAUGAAAUUGUGCAGAAAUAUGUAGAAUAUUGUAAAAAAUAUUAACCCAAAAAAUUAGAAUUUUUUAACAAAACAUAAAUUAAUUAUGAAUAUUUAACCGUCAAACAUAUAAAAAUUCAUAUUAAAUUCAUGUUUUGUUAAAAAAUUCUAAUUUUUUUUGAGAGUUUAUUAUAAUAUUAUGCAUUUUUCUGCACAAUUAUAUUCAAAAAUAUGUUUUUUUUAAUACUUAAAAUAUAAUAACAAAGAAAAAGAUGGAACAACAAAAAAGGAGGGGGACCAAACCUCCUCACGGAUUUACAAACCUAUAAUUAGGCAUCCCUAGCCUAUCUUUAACCACAAUCCCUCUAAUACUAUCAGGGAUCUCUAACCAAACAGUGAGACCAUGAAGACUAAGACCUAUGUUAGCUAAAGAGUCAGCACAACAGUUGCCUUCUCUAUAUACUUGAGUUACCAAAAAAUGGAUGCCAGAAACAAAUUGCAGACAUUUUUCCCAUCUGUUUCUAAGAUACCAAGGGAUAAGAAGCUGAUUAGUGAAAGCUUUAACUACCAACAUACAAUCAUAUUCCAACCAUAAAGAAUGCCAUUGGUGUUGAGCUGCGAUUUCGAGAGCUCUCAUAGCCCCAGAGAGUUCAGCAUGAUAAGCAUUACCUAAUCCAUAAUUUUCUGCAAAACAAAGAAGGAAUUUUGCUUGACUGUCUCUGAAAAUCCCUCCACAAGUUGAAUGAUUGUUUUUAGAUGAGCCAUCUGUAUUGCACUUUAUCCAAUUGAAGAUUGGAGGAUUCCACACAACCUUAAUAAUUUUAGGGGCAUUUGCGGGGUGUAAACUGACACCAAACUUCUUUAAGACAAUGAAGUUUCUCAUGUCAGAAGAAGCUUUCUUACCAGUUAAGUUACCUGAUAGGGAGGCAUAAGAUAAUAUAUUUGAGACAGUUGUUCUCCAAUCAAUCUUUUUGUUAUUGAACCUUAAUUGAUUUCCUGGCAUACCAAAUUGAGCAGAAUACAUUCACUAGAGCAGAAGUCACCACCAAUUGGCAUUGUGCAUUCCAACCUUUAUUACAUAGAGACCAGACAUCCUCUUUGGAUUGAAAUUGCAUAGUACAAUUAAGCAUAGUAGCUAGCCAUCUCCAAACAAGCACUGCAUAAGAACAUUGGAAAAAAAGAUGGAAUGAGGUUUCUUCACAUUUAUAGCUGAGAGAGCACAUGGAAGGCAUUUGACAACCUCUAUUGGCCAGUUGAUCAUCAGUUGGUAAUUUAUCCAGCAUAACUCUCCAGACUGUGAUAGACUUGGAGGGAGGAAUAUCAAUAGACCAUAAGUGUUUUGUCCAGUCUAUCUUUGGGAAAUGGUGUCUUUUGAAUUCAUAAGCUUCUUUAAGAGAUAGGGUGCCAAUUGAAUUAUGCUUCCAAACCAAACAAUCUGCUUUCUCUUGACUGGGAAGAGUAACUUGCUCAGCAAGACUUCUAAUUUGAGGGAACACAUUUGAAACUUCAGAGGGAAAACUCCAUUGAAAAUUGGAGAUAUAAGAACAUAGAGAUGAAGGGAAAGACUCAAUCAUGCAGGGUGAGACAUUUAAAGUGUGGAUCAUUGGUUCAUCCCUCCAAACAUCAGUCCAAAAGUUGAUGUUAACACCAUUUUCAAUUUACCAGGUUGAAUUCUCCAUCACAGUUGAAAAUUCAGACUUGAUUCCACUCCAAAUAGAUGAAAAAAUAUGAUGUUUGAUGCAAGUACCUCUGAGAACUCUCCCUCUCAAGAUGGAUGCCCAUUGUUCCUCAAAAUGAAGAAAUUCCCAACAGAGCUUCGGGUUAGUUGCUUCAUUAAGGGAAAUUAAGGACCUCAGAUUUAGACCUCCCUCUUCAUAGGGAGCACCAACUUUCUUCCAAGCAACAGUCACCAGUUUCCUCUUGUUAAGGUCACCACUCCAGAUAAAAUUCUUUAUCCAUUUCUCCAAAUCCUUGAGCAGUCUUGUUGGCCAAGAAUACACAUACAUUGAAUGAAUAAACAUGGAUUGAAUGACAGAUUUUACCAGUUGAACUCUUCCAGCCAUUGUUAGGAGGGAAGCCUUCCAAGCUGCAAGCUUGAUUUUCACUCUAUCUGCAACUGACUGGAAAUAAUUGGCUUUUGGUUUACCUUUAAAGAUGGGGACACCAAGAUAGGUAAAAGGAAGAGAACCCAUCGAGAAGCUUAAGAAAUGAACAAUAUUUAACAAUCUAUCAUGAUUGAUACCACCAGAAAAAAAUGGAAGAUUUACCUAAAAUAAUCACUUGGCCAGAACAAUUAGCAUAGGAAGUAAAUAGGUCCUUCAAAGCCUCAAGACUAGACAUUUUUCCUUUACAGUAUACCAUUAUAUCAUCUGCAUAAAGACAAUGGGAGGGGAUUUUAGAUGUCCUUGAAGCACUGAUAAGAUCAACUUUCCCUUCAUCCACCAAUUUAGCGAUUCCUCUACUUAAAACCUCUUCUGCAAUGCAAAACAAAAGAGGGGACAAAGGAUCUCCUUGCCUGACCCCUCUUUUACACUUGAAGUAUCCCUCCUGCUUGCCAUUGAUACAAAUUGAUAUGUUGACUGAGUUGAGAAUGGUGAGAAUCCAAUCACAGAAAAUUUGAUUAAGACCAAACUUCUUCAAAACUGCAAUAAGAAAAUCCCAGUUUAGGGUGUCAAAAGCCUUUGAGAUGUCUAUCUUCAGUGCAAGGUUCCCACCAAAGCACUUUUUAUCAAGAACAUUAACUGCUUCAGAGGCUAGAGCAAUGCAGUCUUUAAUGUUCCUGCCUCGUAUGAAACCUCUUUGCUCUUUAGAAAUGAUACCUGGUAAUAUUAUUGCCAAUCUGUCUGCAAGUACCUUUGUAAUAAUUUUAAAUUUAAAAUUGGCAAGAGCAAUGGGUCUAAAUUGAUCAAUGGUGUCAGCAUUGGGGUUCUUGGGGAUAAGAAUCAAGGAAUUUGCAUUGAAGUUAUUGGGAAGCCAACCUGUCUGAAAAAAUUGAGUACUGCAGCAAUGACAUCUGUGUUGACAAUUUCCCAGUAUGUUUGGAAGAAAGCAGCACCAAACCCAUCUGGACCAGGGGCACUAUUGCUAUUUAGGUCAAAAACAUCAUCUUUGAUUUCUCUUAGGGAAGGAAUCAUAGUAAGCAGUCUGUUGGUUGAGGAAUCAACAAUUGUUGGGAUGACUUCUUUCGCAAGCAAAGGAUCCUGCAAACCAAAGUUAGUAGAAAAAAGAUUUUCAUAAUAAUUAAUAACAUGUGAAGAUAUUCUUUGAGGGUCAGACAUUAUUUCAUCUCCAUUUCUUAGAGAAGAAAUGAGCUUUGUUUCGUUUUUGAUUUUUGUCACUCUAUGAAAAAACUUGGUAUUUCUGUCACCAUCCAAAUGCCAAUUAAUUCUUGCUUUUUCUUUCCAAAAUAAAUCAUGCUUGUUAAGGGCAUCUUCAAGAAUACAUUGGGCAUUCUUCUCUUCUAUCAUCAGGGAGUCAUUAUGUCCAUUGAGAUGAAUUUGGUGUUGGAUCGCUGCAAGUUUUGCUUCAACUUCUGAAACAUAACCAUGUAUAUUGCCAAACACAUCUUUGUUCCAUAGUUUGAGUUUGUCCUUCAAAAUUUUGAGCUUAGUGCUGAGGAUGUGUAGGGGGCAGACAAUAACUCUAGUAUUCCAGGUAUCAGAGACUAACUGCUUACAAUCUUUAUGAAGAGUCCACAUUUUGAGGAAUUUAAAGUUGGAGGCAAAAGUCUGGGUGGAUAAAGAGAAAUCUAACAGGAUAGGAUAAUGGUCAGAACUAGUUUUGGUGAGGGUUGAGCAAGAAAUGGUAGCACAAAGGUCAAGCAACUGUUGGUUACAAAUGGUUCUAUCAAGUCUUUUUUUUAGUAUGCCUUCUACCAGAUCUUCUGUUGUUUCAAGUGAAAGAUACACCCCUAGUGGGGAGGUGAACAAGAUCAUGUAUAUCUGUCCAAUGUUGGAAAUCAGCAAUAGAAAUUCUAGCAGGGAUAAAAUUACCACAAUAUGCAUGUGCACCUAAAAUCACAUUGAAGUCACCAAUGAAAGCCCAAGGGGCAUUAAAAUGAGAUUGCAGCAGAGAGAGCUUAUCCCAAAGGUUUCUUCUUCUCAAGUGAUCAGUAGAGGCAUAUAUAGCAGACAUAUACACUAGGUUAUUAUCAACAGUGAUACUAAAAGAAACUUGUUGGUCAUCUAUAUCUAUCAAGGUAGGGUUAAUGUCAGAAGCAAAAAUGCACCAUAAAUUAGGUAGAAGAUUUUGUCUUUCAUUGAAGGAAAAAGUCUUAAACUCUAAUUUAUGUAACCAAGUAGAAGGGAAAUCAUCAUAAUUCAUCCAAGGUUCAAAAAUGAAAAUUAAGUCAGGUUUUUGAAGUAAAAUUAGUCUUUUCAAAGCUAACCUUGAUGGGGAGUUAGCUAUACCCCUUAUAUUCCAAUAUAAAGUAUUCGUCUAAAGGGUUUUGGAUUACCAGUCUUUUUCCUGGUGCCAUAGUUGCCCACAACAGCUGGUUUCUUCUUUGUCAUCUUUGCUUUGGAUUUAACCACCUGGAAACCAUCAUCAACAUCCUCCUGAAUGGGUAGUUUCUCCAAAUCACUAAGUAAUUUUAUCUCUGCAUCAAUAUCUUCAGCCAUGUUAGCCCAAGACUGAUUGAGAAACUCUGUGUUUCUUUUUUCCAUUUCCACUCUUCUUGCUUCUUCUAUGUCCUGCUGCCUGGUAGAAAUAUGUUGAGAGCUAGAGGUAACUUCUUCACCCUCUGGCAUAUCCCUACCUUUAAAGUCAUCUCCAUCAACCAUUGUAUCUUCCACAUAUUCAGACUCAUGUGAAGCAGAGUCUUUUCCAGAAUGAAAUUCUUCAUUAAUUUCAUUUUCAAGUUCCAUAUCAUUCCUUCUCAUUUCAUUUCUACUUCAUUUUCUAAAAUCUCAUAACGAUUCCUUUGUUGGAUUUCUUCUGUAUCUCUAGUUCCACUUGUGCCAACACCAUCAGCACCCACAACUGCUUUAGCAGCAGAAACAUUCUUGUCAGCAUCUGCAAUCUCUUCGACAAUAAUAGGGUUAACAACUGUCUUGCCCUGUUUUACCCAAUUCAUUUUCUUGUUUCUCUCAUCCUUCUUUAUCUCAGCGACAUCAUUUUUAGAUGGAACAUCAUGAUUUUUAGCAUCUACUUUUGUGAUAAACCUACAAACGUCCAUACAAUGCCCAACCUUCCUACAAUGAUUGCAGAAAUCAGGCAAGUUUUCAUAUUCGAAAUCAACAAAGAAGGCAAAAUCCUUCCUUUCAACAAGUACCUGAUACCUUAGAGUUUGUGAUAUAUCCAUAUCCACAAGAACCCUAGCAAAUUGUCCAAAAGAUCUUUCUAUCACAGGCCUUGAAGAGGGAGAAUCAGUGCAAAUUGGGGUUCCUACACUACUUGCUAUAGCAAAAAGAAUCCUAGGUCUCCAAUAUUCCUGAGCCAGACCAUAAAUUCUUAGCCAAACCUGUGCAUUGGAACUAUUCUGCAAACUAGGACUAAAAUCCCUUGUCCAAGCAAACAUCUUCAUAAUUCCUGGGUUUAGAUUCAAAAAUAUGUAUUUUACAUAUGAGUUUACUUUAAGAGAGGGAUCAAAAGUGAAGAUGAAAAAUAUUUGAAGGACUGAAAGUUGAAGGAAAAUUUUAGGGGGACUAAAAUAAAAAAUUGGUAUAUUUAUAGAGACCAAAAACAUAUUUAACCCUUAAAUAUAUUCCCUAAAAAAAAAAUCAAUCAUUAAAUACAGGGUUAAAUAUGUUUUUGGUCCUUAUAAAUAUACCAACUUUUUGUUUUAUUCCCUCUAAAAUUUUCCUUCAACUUUUAGUCCCUAUAAAAUUUUCAAUCUUUACUUUUGGUCCCUCGUAAAGUAAACUCAUAUGUAGAAUUCAUAUUUUUAAAUAAAAUUUUGCAAAAAAACGUAUAAUAUUACAAGGAUCUCUCCUAAAAAAUUUUAUAAUUUUUUACCAAAACAUGAAUUAAAUAUGAAUUUUUAUAUUUUUGGCGGUAAAAAAUUCAUAUUUAAUUCAUGUUUUGUUAAAAAAUUCAAAAUUUUUUUUUGGAGUGAUUUUUACAAUAUUUCAUACAUUUCUGCACAAUUUUAUUAAAAAAUACAAAAAUUUACUUAAAAAUAGGGACCAAAAGUAGUGAUUGAAAAUUUUACAGGGAUUAAAAGUUGAAGGAAAAUUUUAGAGGGACUAAAACGAAAAGUUGGUAUAUUUAUAUGGACCAAAAACAUAUUUAACCCUUAAAUAUAUCCCUAAAAAAAAUCAUUAAUUAUACAUAUAAGAUUGCAUGCAUAUUUACUUUGUAAAUAUAGAAAAGGAUAUCAAUAUUGACAUUUUUUUGUUCGGUCACAUGAGAGAAAUCAAUAUUGUUCAUAUACUAUAACGAAAUAAGAUUAAAAUAAACCCUUUUAAAAGUGUCAAAUAUUGUUUUUUUAAUGAGAUUUAACUAUUUUUUAAUUAAUAAUUUAAAUUCCUACCGUAGUGGUGUUCUUCCUAUUUUAAUGAGAUUCAACAAUAUUUUAAUUAAUAAUUUUUUUGACAAAAUUAUUUUAAUUAAUAAUUUAAAUAAUAAAGUAAAAUGGAUAAAAUUGUAGACAUAAUAGUUUAAAAUUAAAUGAAGUAUUAGAAGGAAAAACUUAGUCUCUGUGAGUUUACCUCAGUUGGUAAGUAUAUGCAAGAUACGUGGUUCGAACCCGGACACCACCAAAAAAAAAACUUAGAAGUGAAAAAGCCUCCCAAAAUCAUGUACCCAUUUAUAUAAAUUAUUUAUUAUAUAUUCGUUAGGUAACUUUUAAUAUAAUCAUUUUUAAUUGAUGAAUUGAUUGCAAAAAUUUUGGUUAAUUAUGUGAUUGAAUUAUUAUUUUAAUCAAUUUUAUGUAUCUAUAAGUUUUUUUUGAAAAGAUAAGAAAAUAAUUUUUAUGAUUACAUGUACUAAUUUUAUUCUUUCUCGACAUGUACUAGUGAGUGAGAUCUUACUAUAAUGAGUCUUCUUUUUCUUUAAUUAUUUAUGAGAUAUUUAAAUUUUUAAUAAUAAUUUUGCACAACACAAAAUAAUCUUAUAUGUGUCUUAGGCUAAAAUAGAGAAAAAUUGCAAAUUUUAAUUUAUUUUAUUUAUGCUAACAAUCUUAGUUUCUACUAUUGUAAUCCAAGUUUAGAGAGCUUAUUUACGCGGAAAACUAAAAUCAGUAUCUCUAUUUUUUUCUUCAAAAAAAAGUAUUUCUUUUUGAGGAACAAAAAAUAAUAUUUGAUAGUUAAAGAAUUUUAAACAUAUAUGAUAUGUUGUUUAAUUAUUUUUCUUCGUAAAUUUAAAUCAUCUUUGUUUUGAUAUACUUAGAUAUGUGUCUGUCAUGUAACCAAAAGAAAAAUAUACGUGUUUGUCACACAACCUUAUUUAAUACAUAUUACUUGGAAAAAACUACUUGAGUAUAAAAUGAAAAAAAAUUAAGGUUAAAAUAUGAUUUUAAUCCUUGUAAAUAUGUCUCGUUUUGGUUUUAGUCCUUGUAAAAAAAAAAUUUGUUUUUGGUCCUUGCAAAAUUUUUUGUUUUUGAAAAUAGUCCCUGACCCUAUUUUUGUGAUGAUUUGCAUACGUGGCACAUGAUGAUUGAACCCAUUUUGUAGUUUUUGGUCCCUGCAAAAUAUUUUGUUUUUCAAAAAGGUCCCUGCGAAAUUUUUUGUUUUUGAAAAUAGUCCCUGGAGGGAUUAUUUUCAAAAUCAAAAACUUUCGCAAGGACCAAAAACAAUUUUAUUUUUUUACAAGGACUAAAUUCAAAACGAGACAUAUUUGCAGAGGCAAAAAUGUAUACAACAUGCAACCAGAUGAUGAAUAAUAGUAUAGUGAUUUUUCUAUAUAAUUUUUGACUUGUUGCUUCUACUAUCAAUUUUAAACGAUCUGAUUUAUUGCAGGUUAUAGCUAUCAACAACAAAUUCCCAGGCCAGUUAUUAACGUUACUACCAAUAAUCAUGUAUCAUUGAAUGUUUUCAAUGAUCUGGAUGAAGAUCUUCUUCUCACAUGGUUUGUUUUCAAAACUUUAUUUUACCAUUAAACAUAUGGCGUUGAGCAUAGGUGGUAGGAGCGGCCACCGCCCUAGACACCAAUUUUUUAGGGCAUCAAAAUUAUUAUUUUUACUCGGUGGUUAGUACAUAUAAAUAUAUUUCUUUUUAACUGGUUUUGAUCAAUUCUACUAAAUUAUUUUUAUUUUUUUGAAAGAAUGAAUCUUUUGCAAUAAAGAAUACAAUAAGAAAGACAUUCGAAUAAGUAAAAGGAAUACAAAUUUAUUGAUUCGUCCAGGACAAAAAAAUCUCACGACAUGCCUUGUAUACGAUGUCUUUUUUUAAUGUUCAAACAACAUAACUAUUCUUCAUAUACUUUGUGGCAAUCUAAUAAAUUUGAGGAAACAAAUGAUUGUGACAGGCAUGGUGUUCAAAUGAGGCGUAACUCGUGGCAAGACGGAGUUCUUGGCACGAAUUGUCCUAUUCCUUCAAAAUCGAACUGGACAUUAGUUAUCUUCAUCUUUCCCCUUUUCAUGCCAUAUACUUAUAUGAAGCACAUACAUGAUCACAAGAUACAAUACUGACACGUGUCGGAUACUAGACAGUAACCUUUAUUCUGAAGGGUCGGUGCUAGUAGAUAUUGCGAGUUUUGGUGCCUUGUAUUUUUUCCUAAUAGUUUCUUAAGUAUAUUGGUUUUGGCUAGUUCUUUCCUCUGCAGAGUAGUUUGUUUUGACCAGAGCCAUUCAGUAAAAAAAAUAGUUUUAAACAUCUCAAAUAACUAUAUCUUAAAUUUUCAGCUCUCAUUCUUGAUUUAUGUUAAAACAUGAAAUGUAUUAUUUUGUUUUCUCUUUUGAAUCCUUUUUCUAAUACCUUGUAUUUUCUCAAAUGGUAUUGUAUAACAUUCAGAUUGGUAAUAACUUGUUGGCUGCAUUUGUUUCUUAUUACUACAUUUCAUUUUCGAGUUACUUUACCUUUAAAUGUGACAUAGAUUUUCAUCUUAUAUUCUACUGCAUUUUGUUAGAAUUGGAAGAACUUGAAUUCUGACAGAAACUACAAAUAUAUUUCGCAGGCAAGACCUAUCGAAUUCGUGUGCAUAAUGUGGGAAUUUCGACUACAUUAAACUUUAGAAUUCAAAAUCAUAACCUAUUACUGGUAGAAACAGGAGGGCAUUACACAACUCAAAGAAAUUUGACCAACUUCGAUAUUCAUGCUGGUCAAUCUUAAAGAAGACGGAGACACAGAAAUCAGUCAACCAGCUAAUGUUCUGUUUUGUGGUUCUCUCAAAAGCUUACAAAUGUAACUUCUCAUGCUUCCAUUGAAUUUGUUUUUUAAAUAAUAACUUUUAGAAUAGAUAGAUUUAAUAAGGGAAGAUCAUUCGGAAGAAUGAUCCUUUUUAUUCUAUUUAUAGUUUUUAAGAUUAAAUUGAAAAGAUCGAUAGGUCUAUAAUCAGUAGGAAGUUUAGGAUAUUUAAUCUUAGGAAUAAGGCAAAGGAAAGUAAUUGAUAUGACUAGGAUCUCCAUUCUGAUUUAGGAUAUUCAAGACAUAACUUAUGAUAUCAUUACCAAUAAUUUCCCACCCAAUAAGACUAAUAGAAAAGGGCAUGUAACCCAUCAGGACCUAGAGCAUCAAUGCCUUUCACUCUGCUUUAUAGGUUUGAUUUUGGGAUAUAUAUAUUAUUUUCGAGAGUGUUUCACUAAUCAGAGUCUGGAGUAGUGUUCAGAUUCUGAUGCAUAUUUGAACUCAGCGGUUUAAGAUCAAAACACAAAGAGAGAGAAAGAGAGAGAGACACAAACAUAUAUCAUGAUUCCUCUCAUAAAUCGAGAGUAGUACAAUCUCCUUGCACUUUAAAGGGAUUUUCAAAUGCUAGCACACAAUCAAGAAACUUCCAAUGUUCAAGCACACAAGCAAGAGACUUAUAAUGUUCAAUCGCAACUGAAAGAGACUUCUCACAAUAUAUCGUAAUCAAAUAAAAAAUUGUUUGAUUUUACACUUGAUAUACAAUCAGACGUGUAAACAAUUACAAAGCAAUUAGAGAUGAUUAUGGCGGCUAGAAUUGUUCCUGGUGUGCUACUGUGCGGCAAUACACAUAGGACUUAUCAUACACCUUCAUGGUGCUUCUCUGUGAGGAAUGUGGGCCCUGACUUCAUUGGUGAAUUCACAUUGGGUUUUAUGUCGUCCGGAACGUAAUCGAUUUCACAUGAACUCCAUGAAUAUUGAAUCAAUUUGACGAUUGAAUCAAUUUGACGAUCCUACUGCCCUGACCUGUAUCAAUUUAAAAUGGACUAAAAACUUUCUAACAUGUGUUAGUCGAUUCAGAUCAUUAGUUAUGUCAUUUGAGUUAAUUCAAGAGUUAAAGAAGUGUUUAAAAAUAAUAAUAAAAUGCACAAAAGAUCCCAGACUACAACAAAAAGGUUUCCCAUAGCUUUGAAAUAUGAAUUUUAACAAAAGAGUUUAUGCAUGAAAAAUUAAUUUAUGCAAGUAAGACAUCAAUCAAUUUAAUAUAGUUGGUAUGUGAUGUGAUCCUAAAAUUCUCUCCCUUGACAAGAAUAAUAAAGUCAUUGUGAAAAAGAACCAAAUUAAUUUUGGUUCAAAGUUUUAUUUUCGUAGGUCAUGAUAUGUAUGUCUUGUUUUGGCUAUAUAUAUGGAGUUCUGGAUGUCCGAGUGAGGUAAUCUUUUACUCUAUGGAAAGUUUACAAAAUUCUCUACAUUUUGUCUGAAGAGCAAAUUCGGAAUAUUUAAUGGUGUAAAAUGAACUGUAAGUUGAAGAUAUGAUUAAAGUGUAUAAGCUGAAAAAUUAAAGAUGGUGUUUGUGGAAUUGUAACAUCUAUAAAUAACAAGCCUUGAUUAAUCAAUGUGCAAAUGAAUAUGUAACAUCCUCAUGCAUUGAUCAGCGACCAACUUCAAAGAUCCAAUUAAAUUGUAACCUCUCUUCUAAUAACUAGCAACCUAGGAGUUAUAACACUAGUAAUCAUGCAAUAAUUGUAGUUUUUGAUAAGUAUUGCAGCCUAUUCCUAUAUAAAGGGGACUCACACAAUGAAUAAAAUAAGAUGAAUUUUGAUAAAAAAAAAAAAAAGGUCACUUUAUGUGAAUUUGAAAGCUUUGCUUCUUUUUGGUUUUGGAUUAAACCAUGACUUGAUCUUAUCAAAAAACUACAUUUUUUAUGGCGAUCCUCUACCAAGCUAAACAUCUUCCUUAGAUUGGGAUUUUGUUUAGUUACCAUUUUCGGUCUAUUUCCAUCAUUCUUUAACCUUAAUAACGAAAUCCCCGCAUUAUUCACAAAUAUAUUCAAAUCAAAAUUAUAUCCCUUUUUACCUUCAUCAGUAUGUCAUAGGAAUUACUUGUUACUUUCACUCUAUUACAUUAAAAAAAAAUGACCUAUUGAUCUAGCUGGGAGGCAUUUAACAACAACUCCAAUUUAAUAAUGGUUUAUUGCAUCACCAAAGGGAUAAAAACUAUUUACUUGACAUUAAAAAAACAUGAAACUUUACUUAUAAAGUAAUCAAACAAGUUUAUAUUUAUAACAUCUAAGAGAAAAAAAAAAAAAAACAUUUAAGAGAAGAAAAAUAUGACUCAAAUUUCCAUAUCUUUUUAUGCUUUGAUAAUCUUUUUUUCUCUUUUUCUUGUUGUAACCAAUGGCCGAAGUAAUUCUUGCAUUAUUUUCGCAUUUUCUUCUUUAUGUUAUACAUAAUAUUUCAUUACAUUUAAGUAAUAUUCAUUUUAUUUUUUAUUUUUGAAGGAAGUAACAUUCAUUUAUUAUUAUCUUACUAUACUAUACAGAUAAGACGUGCAACUACAGUAGUGAAUGUCUAUUUCAUAAUUGUCCCCUUGGUUGGGUUAUGAAGUGUUUCACUUAUUUUUGUGCGUGCUCGUAAGUCUAUUUGAAUCUUGAACCCUUUAAUUAAUCUUUUUUUUUUCUUAACCAAUGGAGGACGAGAAAAUAAACAAACAUAAGACCCUCCUAUGUCGAUUUAUAAUUGUGUGUUAAGCUAUGAUAAAUUGGUAUGGUGUAUAGCGUAAACAUUAAUGUCUAAAAAAAUAGUCUUCAUAAAAAAAACUUGGCAAUGCUUGAAAUAUUAUCUUGUGUUGUUUUGAUAUGAACAAUUGUGAUAUGUGAUUAUUCCCGACCAUAUCUAUGAACUUUCUCUAACUAAGGAGUGAAAUAUUAUCAUUCAUCAUAAUAAAAACGAUGGUAUUUUUGUCCAUUCCCAUGUCAUUUUGCUAAUUUGAUGAUUUGGUAGUGAUUAAGUUGGUCAAAGGACGAAAUUUUAAAUGAUUAAACAAUGCAAGGGUAAAUUGCCAGGAUUAGCGAUUACAGAGACUAAUUUUUAAAUGACGCCUAAUUGUAAGGACGAAACACAUCAUUAAGCCUGAAGUAUAUUAGUGUACAUUUUGAUAUGUUUAUGUCUCCUUAACCAUAUUGGUGCUAUGUAUAUGUGUUAGUGUCUUUUGAACUAUUUAAAUGUGCAAUAUGUUCAAUAUUUUACUAAGUGUGAAUAUACGACUAAAUUUAAAUAUUUUUUCUACUACUAAUAUACCUUGACAUGAUUUGAUUAAACCAUCCUUCGUUGUAUGUGUUAGGCGCUUGUAACAGGAACAUGUACGAAUCAACAUUCGUAUCAAGUCAAUUUGUCGGUGGCUAUUAAAGAUGUUUAUCUAUUUUUUUUUUUUUUGGUAGAAGAUGUUUAUCCACUUUAUUUUGUAUUAAUAAGUUCUAUCCAUUAAUAUGAAAAAUAGUAUAUGUUUGAUAUAAGCAUAUAAUUUAAUUGUAUGUCAUAAUUUCCCUCACACUUUAAUAUAUAUUUUUAUUUGAUCUUAAUGGAGAUGGGUUCCCGGGCCUGAUGGGUUUAAUGGUUAUUUUUACCAAGUCUUCUGGGAGUUAGUUAAAUUUGAAUUCUAAUUUGGUGGUUUUGAUUCCUAAGGUGCCUGGUGCAGAUAAGUUCGAGAAUUUUCGUCCUAUUGCUUUAGUAAAUUUCAAUACAAAAUUAUUUCCAAAAUUUUGGCAGGUUGUCUAUUGUGGCUCCUAAAAUUGUCUCUUAUAAUCAAAGAGGUUUUCUUUUAAAUAGUCCAAACGCAUAAUGCCUAUGCGCGGUAUUUUAAUCAUAACUCAAGUUCUAAAAAUUUAAAUGGAGUUCAACCAAAUUAAGAUGAAUGUUAAUAUUCAUAUCUACGACUUUUAUGAAGACACUUAAACCUAAUUCAAAACAGAAAGUGGUAGAAAAGUUGAUUUUCCUAAGCCGGGGGAAAGUGCACGACCAUGCUGACCUAUGUGUAGUAUUUUAAUCAUAUCUUGAGUUCUAGAUGUCGAAAUAGAGUCCCAUCAAAACCCAAUGAAAUCUAACAUCCAUAUUUACAACUUUGAUGAAGCAAUGAAGCAAAAUACAACAUUGUAAAUGUCAAAGGAAUUCUGAACCUUUUCUUCCAUAUCAUUAUGAGUCUAGUUACACAAUUAGUGUAACAAUUAAAAUACAAAAAGAAAAUGCUUGUUGGAAACGAAGUUGAUCCAUUUUUGCAUAAAAGGGAUAGAACAAUUUUAUAAGCUCUCAAACUCAACUUGGAGAAAUCCUAUUAAAUUUAUUUUAGAAACAAAAGGAGAAGAUUGCAAUAAAAUGAACUUUAUGAGUUGUUUUCAAAUUAACCAUAUUCUAUACCUAUCAAAUUUUAGAAAAUGGAGAGAAAAAACAAUGAAAUAUCUUUUAAUUAUAAUUGUUGUGUAUGUUUUCAAAUUGCAAAGUUGGGAAGCAGAGAAAUCGUGACACGAUUUUGGUAAUGUCGAGAGCUGGUUUUCAGGGCGUCCAAUCGUGACACGAUUUUGGGAAAUCGUGACACGAUUUUUGGCUUGUUGGGCAAGAUUUUCAGGAUAAGGUUGGUCGUACCUUUGAUCGAACGCAUCAAUCGUGGCACGAUUGGGGAAAAACGUGACACGAUUUCGACGCAGAAGACAGCUAUAUAAGUGUUCUUUGCAGAUUUUGAAAGAGAGCUUGAAGAGAGAGAAACUUGGGAAAUCAAAGGAAGCAACUUUAGGGUUUAGGGUCUUUGAUUAGAGUUCUCUUGGGUUGGGAAACAUUGUAAACACCUUGGUGAGUGAAAAUCAUUGAGUAUCUUGUUCAUUGGUGAGAUUGAGAAAAAAGGGUAGAAAUUAGGGUUGUUCUUUGUGAACUUGUCAAAGCUAAUUUCUUGUAACCCUUUUGUAUCUCUUCGUAAGAACUCAUUGAUAGUGGAUUGGAGAGAUCAAUCUCUCCUACAGAGUAGGUCAAGUUUGGACCGAACUAGGUGACCAAUCUUUGGUGUGUUUGUUUCUCUCUUCUCUCCUUUUAUCUUUUGCUUGUGGUUUUGUGCUUUUCACUUCCUAGAUUAGAUCUAGGUGCUGUUAUUGUUGAUUAUUGCUUGAAUUCACUUUGAUAUUGGUUAAUACUUUCCUUUGCUCCACACAUCAUAGUUUGUAUUGGUGUGAUUUUGAGACCGGAAUUCACAACAAUAAUCAAACAAUGUUAGAAUUAACUUCAUAAAAUCUAUUACUUUACUUAUAUAAAAGUUAAUAUCCUAUGAAUUACCAUUUUUGCCCUCAAGAGGGGCAAUUUGGUAAUUCAAUUAUUCAUUAACCUCACCUCAUUAUAUAUAUAUAUAUAAUAUUCUAUAUUUUAUUUUAUAUUAUUUUCUUUUUUAUUUUAUAUUUAUUUUAUAAGAAUAAAAAUAAUCAUAAAUUCAGUUGUUUCUAAACUGUUGUUGUGGGAGAUUAAAACACCGUUUGACUCGACUUUUUUUCAAUUUUUCUACAUUUUUAAGGAGAAGUUAGGCCAAAAUGUUUAAUACGAGCCAAAAUUAAACCACUCAAAUUAAGUACUUACUAAAAAAAGUAUUUUUUUAAUGCAUAAAAUUGAAUGGAAUGAGCUUUGGCCAAAAGUUGUGGAAUGCUAUCUCAAAAAACUACUUGUCGACAAUUUAUUUUACAAGCACCUCUCUUAAACUCAUGUUGGGAACCUUUUUCUUUAUUUUUUUAAUAUUAUAUUUCAAUAUGUUUUUUUUUCUUCCGUUUAAUUUUAUUUUAUUUUUUGAACCGUUCCAUUUAAUUUUUUAAGGAGGUUCCAUUUAAUUUUAUUAUCUUUUUUUCAAGGGAAUUUUAUUAUCUUUUUUUCAAGGGAAUUUUAUUAUCUUUUUAUCACUCAAAUAUUUAAUUUCAAUAUAGUUUAAUCAUCACAACCUCACAAAUAUUUUUAUUCACGUUGUCUUUUAAUGAUACCAAAUAUUUUUAUUUUCUAUCUUCAACCUCGCAAAUAUAUUCACACACGCUAGCAUUUAGAGUAAUAUUUUAUGUCCGUAUGUCUGUUUUUUUGUUACGCUAAUGCGUAUAAUUUUUUUUAGCGUUGCAUAAUGCAUAUGAUUAUUUUUAUAAAAUUUUGAUUUUAAUUAAAAAUACAAGUAUAGAUGCCUAAAAAAAUUAUACUUAUGUAUAUUUUGCACCUUUAUAUUGUAAUAAAUUAUACAUAUAUUUUUCUUAUUAAAAAAAACUAAACAUGUAUGUUUCAAUGACACCAACAAUGUAGCAAAUAUAAUGUCAAAUAAUAUAAAUUCUUAUCUUUUUGAAAGUCACCAAAAAUAUGGUAUUCUUAUAAAAAAAUUUGUUAAUUUGUGUUAAGAUACAUACUGCAUCACUAUUGGAAAAAUAACUAAAUUCAAUCCUGACCAAUUUGGAUGGUAUUAUAAGAGUUGCACCAAAUAUCCAAAGGAAUCAAAGUCAAAUGGUUUCUAGCUAUAGAUAUACAUGCGGACAGGAUGUUGAUGCUCCAUUGACUAGGUUACAUAUUUAAAAUUUCAUGUGGUAGAUUAGUGUUUUUUGUUUAGCACAUUUAUAAUAUGUCUUUGAAUCUAUCCAUUUUAUCAAAUACAAGGUUGUUGUGCAAGUUGUUCAUGAUAGUCACAAGGCUAAAUUUGUGUUCUGGGAUAGUGAAGGUCUUCAGAUUAUUGGUAUAACUACCCAAGCUCUUAGGAAGACUAUGCAAGAGGUAUCCCUAAUUUAAUUUUCAUCUUAUUUUCCGCAUGGUUGAUAGAUAUUAUAACUUAUGUAAUUGUAUUUUUUUAUGAAGGUCGAUGAGAUGAUCCUAAAAUAUACCAAAAACAUCUAUAUAAACUACUCGGCCUUGAGUUUGUGUUACGUGUCAACCAUCAUCCAUACUAUCAUCAAUCAUUCGUUUUAGGUGUUUCCCGUGAUCCCGUUGUCAUCAAAAAAAUUAAGUCUCAUCUUCAGCUAGAGAAGCAACAACUUGAUGAGGUUCUUUGUGUCUGUCGUGUUCUUUUUUUAAUAAUUGAUUUAACUGUUUCUUUUUCUGGCACUUAUAUUUGGUUUUCAUUUUAUUAUUGUAGAAUGUUAUCUAUGAUAAUCCAACCCAGACAUUCAUUCUUGAGAAGAAUAAUGCUUCUGCUAAGUGCUCAGAUUCCCUUAACACUCCUACGGUAUAAUAAUUAAGCACAUUGAAUUUCUCUGUGAUUUGUUAUUGUAAUAAUUAAUAUUAUAUUCAUUUUAACUAUGAAAAUUUUAUCCUUAUUGUGACAACAUUCCUUCUCUGCUUGUGGUGAAAAUGAUUUGGAAUUACACUCAUGCAAAGCGUUCGUCCACUUAAAAAUACCAAGAUGACAUUGCAUCUGAUGCCUAUAAUCCAAUGCAAUUGUCUUCCACUAAGUUGGCCAAACACAUCAUGAAGGAGUGAUUGACCUUUUCUUUGUCUGCUUUUUUGAAAACAUGUCAUAGACUCUUGCAAAGUUAUUUGACUUUCAUAUAUAAUUAGAUUCUGAUAUGUUAGUCAGGAUCUCUAACUAGAAAAUAAUGGUUGUGUCCAAAAUCUAAUAUGAUAAAGAAAUCAUGUAUGUAAGUUGAACAACAUUUUUUUUUAAUUUUAAAGUUUUUUAGCAUGUGAAACACAUAAGAUUGAUCAUAAUUUAUGAUUUCUAUUUCUGCCUCUUUAAAAAAAAAUAAUUGGUUGAAUAUAGUCACCAAUGAACAAGAACAGUUGAACUCUUAUUUAUAAUUGGUUGCAUAGGACGGAAAAUAUUAACUUUAUCAGUGCAUUAUGUCACCCAAUUGAUUUGUCUAUGAUCUUAACCAAUAUUCUUAGAAAAAAUGCAUCAACAUUGUUGAAACAAAUGAAAAUUAACAUCUCUGUAAAAAAUUGCUAAAACAUGUUGCAUACAUUUAAAGACAAAAAUGUUAAUAGCAUUCCAUGAAAACACAUUUGUAGAAACAAUGGUGUUACGAACUACAUAAUAUAACUUUCAUGCAAUGACACCUAAUUUUAAUNNNNNNNNNNNNNNNNNNNNNNNNNNNNNNNNNNNNNNNNNNNNNNNNNNNNNNNNNNNNNNNNNNNNNNNNNNNNNNNNNNNNNNNNNNNNNNNNNNNNNNNNNNNNNNNNNNNNNNNNNNNNNNNNNNNNNNNNNNNNNNNNNNNNNNNNNNNNNNNNNNNNNNNNNNNNNNNNNNNNNNNNNNNNNNNNNNNNNNNNNNNNNNNNNNNNNNNNNNNNNNNNNNNNNNNNNNNNNNNNNNNNNNNNNNNNNNNNNNNNNNNNNNNNNNNNNNNNNNNNNNNNNNNNNNNNNNNNNNNNNNNNNNNNNNNNNNNNNNNNNNNNNNNNNNNNNNNNNNNNNNNNNNNNNNNNNNNNNNNNNNNNNNNNNNNNNNNNNNNNNNNNNNNNNNNNNNNNNNNNNNNNNNNNNNNNNNNNNNNNNNNNNNNNNNNNNNNNNNNNNNNNNNNNNNNNNNNNNNNNNNNNNNNNNNNNNNNNNNNNNNNNNNNNNNNNNNNNNNNNNNNNNNNNNNNNNNNNNNNNNNNNNNNNNNNNNNNNNNNNNNNNNNNNNNNNNNNNNNNNNNNNNNNNNNNNNNNNNNNAUCGUUUAAACUUCUGUUUGGUUUUUGUCACAAGUGGAAAAUGUGAGAUUGCUCUGUUUGGAGAUUAUGUGGAUCACUUGAAACAACUCAUGGCCAAAGUUGAUGAAGGUUUGCAUGUGCUGGAUAUGCAGUUCACAAAAGUGAAGAUUUUCAGUGGUGUGUUUUUGGUCUAUUUCUUCUAAACAUUUUGAAUUUUUAAUGUAUGAAUAUUCUUAUAAGUUUUGUCAUUGGUUGAAUUUUUGUAGAGAAUGGAUCCCCGCAAAAUGUAGUGAAUACUACCCGAAUUAUGAUCAAUCUGGAUAUAUCAGAGGCUGCUGAAGUUAAGAAAGGGUUAGUUAUUUUAUUUGGAUUGUUGUGGUUUUUAAUAUAUGUUCAGAUUCUGAUACACAUUAAUUAAAUAUGUAUGUGUUGCGUUUGUUUACGCCUCAAUGACUGCAUAUUGUAUCAGUUUGGAUGUUAAUUCAAUCGGAAGUAGCCCAAUGUGCCGCUUAUUGGUCCGAGGGGUAAACCAUCGAUAGAUGAAGAUUUCUUGCAUCUCUAUCCAAAGAAGUCUAUUGCAGAACUAAAGGAAGUUAGGGUGAGUGAUACGUUUAUAUUUUGUGGUACAAUUGAUGGUAUAGUUGAGGAAUAGGAAUGGUGGUACCCUUCUUUGAUUGAAAAAAAUUAUCAUUGUCAUGGUAGUAAAAUUACUAUUUUAAACUUUAGUCCUUUGGCCGUUUGAUACUAAUCAAUUUCUUUUUUGAAUAAAUGUUUGACUUACAUGUUCAUGGAGCUUCUAGAGGAGUUGAGUUAGGAAGUUUAUACAGAGAUAAAUUGCACUAAUAAUAUUGUAAGAAAGUUCAUGUUAAUUAUACAAAAAACAUUACCAACAAUCAUAUUUAAUCAAAUCUCAACUUCUAUAGGUGAUAAGUGAAACUGUUUAAAAAAAAGAAAGAAACUCGACGAAGUUCAAAUUUAUUUCUAUGCCCUUUACCCUGCAUUGGUUCCAAUUAGUUUCAACCUAAUUAUGAUCAUGUUUUCCUGGUUUCAUGAACAAAGUAUAUCCUCUUUUCAUGAAUCAAGACUUGGUAGAGCUUUCAUAAAUAUUUUGGUAAAUAUUUCUUUUGGAAUAAUCUUUUUAUAAGAUACGUUAUUCAAGCCGUGCGAAGCACGGGUUUGUAACUAGUUAAAUAAUAAAAUAACAAAAUGGAAACCGAGAAGGCUAAUCUCAAAAGAAAUAACUUAUUCCUUAUUGUGUUUAGAUCCUUAUCCAUUUGUUAUUCCUAUAUUAAGAACACGUAAGCUACCAUAAAUUUAUUUGUAAGAACACGAAAGCAUUGAAUAUAGAGGUGUGUUGCUCCUACUUUGUGCUCAUAGAAAGACAGGUUCAUACCUUGUAGGGUUUAUCCAAUAUAAUUGAACUUACUUUGGUUUAGGAUUGGUGAUAUAUGAUGUAUUUAUUUACUUAGAAUAUAUCAUUAGUGGUAUUCUCAUUACAUGCUCAAUGGUAACACAUCAAAUGAAAAAAGAAUGUGGCAGGAAAAGCAUCAUUUACCGAUGUAACAAAGUAUAGAAAAUCAUGGAUUGUGAGAUAUCUUAUAGAGGAGGACUAUGCGGUAAUUAUUUUUCUAGAGUUUGAUUAAUUUUUAUUUCCGAUUCCAUAUUCUAAAUAUGAUUAAAUAGUAAUGCAUGAUGAUUGUCAUGUAAACAGUGGCGUUGCCAAGACCUUGGGUUAGGAGGUUCAAGUUUUUUGAACUUUGAUUAAUAAUUAAUAUGUAUGCGUGUAUGCAUGCGUGCCUGCGUGCGCGCGCGUGUAAACUGUAAUUCUCUUUUACAGGGUUUCAUGUUUUGAAAUCGUUGACAGUCAGCUCAUGCAGAUUGUAGACUAAACACAUAAUAAUUGUAUAGUAUAAAUUAAAAUAUGGCAUCUUAAAUUUGUAAUUUAUAAAAACAAAAUUAAAAACGAGAAAAGGUAUAUUAUCUACACACACAUUUAUUUGAAGCGCUUAACCUCUCUUUGAACCCUUCUCCCAAUUUUAGACCUUUUUUUUUACUUACUUGUAACCAUUAAAAAGCUAAGAUUUGAUGAUGACGUAGGAAUAUAGGACCACAGACAGUAGGUAAAUAAUAGGAAAUAAUCCAAAAUCUUUUAUCUUUAUAGCAUUAUACAUUCGGACUAUAUUUUGGGAAACAAAGUGACAUGUACUUGAACAUAGGAAAUGUGAGAAAGAGACGACAAAGGAAUACAAUGAAGUUUGAAGAAAGAAAGAAGAAAAUUAUCUUAAAAAAAAACAUUUCAUCCCUGUUUAAUUAGUCCUCAGACCUCAAUGCUGCCUCCUCCGGGUCGCCGCUGCCUCCACCACUGCGGUUUUGUAGUGUUCUACUAUGAACUUACUUUGGUCUAGGAUUAGUGAUAUAUGAUGUAUUUAUUUACUUUGAAUAUGUCAUUAGUAGUAUUCUCAUUACAUGCUCAAUCGUAACACAUCAAAUGAAAAAAGAAUGUGGCAGGAAAAGCAUAAUUUACCGAUGUAACAAAGUAUAGCAAAUCAUGGAUUGUGAGAUAUCUUAUAGAGGAGGACUAUGCGGUAAUUAUUUUUCCAGAGUUUGAUUAAUUUUGAUUCCCGAUUCCAUAUUCUAAAUCUGAUUAAAUAGUAAUGCAUGAUGAUUGUCAUGUAACCAGUGGCGUUGCCAAGAUCUUGGGUUAGGAGCUUUAAGUUUUUUGAACUUUGAUUAAUAAUUAAUAUGUAUGCGUGCGCGCGCUCGUGUAAACUGUAAUUCUCUUUUACAGGGUUUCAUGUUUUGAAAUCGUUGACAGUCAACGCAUGCAGAUUGUAGACUAAACACAUAAUAAUUGUAUAGUAUAAAUUAAAAUAUGGCAUCUUAAAUUUGUAAUUUAUAAAAACAAAAUUACAAUUGAGAAAAGGUAUAUUAUCCACACACACACACACAUAUAUAUAUAUAUAUAUAUAUAUAUAUAUAUAUAUAUAUAUAUAUAUAUAUACAUAUAUAGACACACACACACACACACACAUACAUGACCUCCGUAAUUUUUAAGCGUCGUUUGAGUAUAAAUUUUGUAUUUUUAUUUAACUGUCGUUUUAAUAGUUUAAAAGUACAAUUUAUCAAUUAUACACUUUCUCAAUUAUUCAUACUUACUCCUUUUCAAUAAAAUCAAUUAAAGUUAUGUGUUUGGUGUCGCCACCACUCGUUGGCUUAGGUGUCACCAUCACUCGCCACCAAGACCACUUCUUUCAACAAUAUUAAUAAUGAGUUGAUUAUUCAAUGAUUUUAAAACAUGAAACCUUGUAAAAGACAAUUACAUAAUACACGCGCGUGUAUGUGCGAGCGCACACACAUAUAUAUAUAUAUAUAUAUAUAUUAGUUAUUUAUCAAAGUUUAAAAGCUUGAACCUCAUGACCCAAGGUCUUGGCAACGCCGACUAUAAUCAGAAUUAAACUAAUCUCCUAAACUUAGGUCAUUUUAAUUUAUUCUAAAACUAACAAUCCCUAAUAAUAAUCCAUAAUCACUCCUUAUUUUAAGUUUCCUAUCAUACCACUUAAUUUGAUAAUGCUCACUGUUUCUCUCUGUGCUUGUUUGAUCUUCAAUUAUGACAGGUUGAGGUUUAUUAUCAUCGUUGACAUCAAUUUUGGGACAGUAAUUGUUAGUUGUUGUCCUUGUUGGUAGAUUUUUUGUGGGGACUCAUAUGACAUCAUUGCUUUUUGCUCUUUUGAUUUUCCCAUACAACUAGGUAUAGUCAUGUAACCACGACCACUUCUCCAACAAUGCUGAUGUAUAUAAAAGAAAUCAAAGUGAAAAAUAUGAGUUUGACAUUCUUAACCAAAAGUGUUUGAUUUUAAUGAAUGAAACUUUAGAAAAGAAACAAGUUGUGAGAAUGAAAAGCGUGCAUAAUUAUCCAAUUUAAUCUUUCAAAUUGUAGUCGUUGUAUAAUACCAUCUCUUAAAUUAAAAAAACUUCAAAAUAAUUCUUGAAAUUGAAAAGCAUUGAUCACAUUAAUCUUUUCUAAAAAAAUAUUUAAUGUAGAAAUUCACUAAUCCAAAAGGACUAUUGUUGAUGCGAUCAAAGAUUUCCAGUUUUGUAUAUUAUGUUGAAAGUUCGGUUAAUAUCAUGUAUCAUAGAGUUUAAUGUGUUUGAUUUUAGAGACUAAAUUGAUUAUCUAGUUUGCAAUAAAUUGAGAAGAGUGUUAGGAAUACACUCUAGGUUGCUAUAAUAUACCUUCCUAGGUGGAGUUUCUCUUUGAGGAAAAUACAAGCCAAGGCUCUGACUAUAAUCAUUCGCAAAGGAGUAAAAGCAGUAACAAAAACAGGUCUCGUAGUUUUAAUGACAUAGCCUUGCACAUAAUAUUGAAUUGAUGAGGUUAAUAUUCCUUGUGUAAAACAUUAGAAGAAAGAAUGUCAGGAAAAAAAAAAUUAGAAUACUUGCUUAAUGUUGUAACUUAGACCUAACUUCUUAAAAAUAAAAAAUAAAAAUUGAGUUGGGUUUGUUAGUUCAGAUGGGCUCAUUGGCCCAUUAUUGAUAGGUCAUUGCUUUUUAGACCAUAACAAUUGUUCACAAACAACUCAAAUUUGUUGUUGAACGGUAGAUAACUACCGUUCGGCCCUUGAUAGGUGCCUAAUGAGCAAUGUCCUUAUUGAAAUUGUUACUGAUCGUGUAUACUGAAGCAGAUGAAGAGUCAUAGUUCAUGUUGGUUCGAUUUCAAUGCUAGCUAUCUUAUUGGUUAUUUAAUACUUAAAUUCUUUUUGCCUUUAGAUUCCUAUCAAUCUAAUUCGAUUUCGGUUGUUCUAAUAUAUUAAGACAUGUAGUGUGUAAUCAAAGUUUAAAAAGGAAAAAAAUAUAUAUUACAUACACACAUGUGUGCGCACGCGCGCGCUCACACACAUAAAUAUAUUUGAGUAGUAGACUCAAAGAGGAAAAAGAACCUUUUUGAGUUUGAGUGUGAUACUGAUCUAAAUUCAGCAUUUUCUCUAAGUAGUUGUACUAUAGUCCUCAUAUGCACCAACUCACAAUAACAUGAUCUAACCGUGUAACCUGCCCGCAGAUCUAGUAACCAAACCAAAUAGCAUAAUGGGAAUUAACUUUUGGAGAUUGUUAAGUAGUAGAGGGAAUAUUUGCUUUGCAAGCUUGAUUGUUAGUUCCAAAUGUUUAAUUAUUCAUGUAUGAGUAAAUUAAGGAUGUACUAUUUGCUAUAUGUUAAGGAGGUGUGCUUAAAAGCUUAUUAUAUCUUUUGUCAUGUUGCAGUUUUAAUGAUUUGUAUAUUUGUUUUUUCUAUGUAGUUUUAAGGUAGAAUGACUAACUCAGGAACUAUUUGAUACUAUCAAACAUUAUCUGAUAGUAAAUUAACUAUUUGCCUAUCCUACACAUGAUUGGAGGAUGUUAUUCCCUAAUGCAUCAGUUACUCAUUUGACCAGAUAUGCUUCAGAUCAUAUUCCUUUGUUGCUGUGACUUUGCUCCAAGAAAACCAAAGAUGAAGCAUAACAGACAUAAAUUGAUCCGAUUCGAAGAAUGUUGGUUGCGUGAGUCAAAUUUGAAAGAGGAGAUAGCACGAGCAUGGGAAGAUUCAGGUACUAAUUUGAGCAACAGAAUCAAACGGUGUGUCGAAGACCUCGCAAGAAGAGAAGCAGACAGAUACGGUGAUGUGCCAAAAAGUAUCAAAAUCACGCAAAUGAAGUUGGACAAGCUGAAUCGUUCUGCCGAUAAUGAGGGAGUGGCUUCGGAAAUAAGGAGACAAAAGUGAUUCUUGAUGACUUGUUAGAGAGUGAAGAAAUUUGAUGGGCUCAAAGAUCUAGAGCGCUUUGGUUGAAACAUGGAGACAAAAACACAAAGUUCUUUCACUAAAAGGCAUCCCAACGAAAGUCAAGGAAUUCUAUUGGGAGAAUUAAUUACAUAUCAGCAUGAUAGCAUGUGAUUGCAUAUCAUAUUUAAUUCCUAGAAUAUUUCCUAAACAUAUUUAGCUCCGGUAAUAUCUCUUGUACAUAACUAGCUCAUAGAAUAUCUCAUAUACAUAAUUAGCUCCUGAUUUUUGGUAACGGUAGCAUGUGUACACUGUGUAUAAAUGAUUCUGUUGAUUGCCAAUGAAAGACACAAGUUUGCCUUCUAUCAAUUUCUUUAUGGCAUCAGAGCGGGUUGCAAAAACCCCAAUUUGAUUUCUAUCCAAAAAAAAAAAAAAAACCCAAAUUUUGUUUUCUUUCCGCCGCUAUAUUUCUCUCUGCCGGUAUCUAACAACAUACCAUGGCUGGGAAUAAAGAGGAAAAUGAGAACGAGAAGAACCAGAUCGAUGAUACAGAGAAUGGGUCGAAGAAGCCAAAUGGCGAUUCAAACGGAAAAAAGCAUGUUGGUAUCGAUCCAACCUCACCAUUCUAUCUGCACCCUUCCGAUCAUCCUGGUAUGAAUAUUUGUUCAGUUACCUUGAAGGGUGAUAAUUAUCAGGAAUGGGAGACCAGUAUGCGUAAUGCUUUUCGCGCAAAACGCAAAUUGGGCUUCUUGAAUGGUACUGUGACACAAUCAGAUGCAAAUGAGAUCGAGGAUUGGUGGAGUGUUAACUCCAUGCUCGUAGCUUGGAUUUUUCAAUCUUUUGAAUCUUCCCUUCGCUCUACUAUUACUUAUUAUGAUACGGUAAAAGAGUUGUGGGAUGACCUACAUCAACGCUUUUCUAUUGGCAACGGGCCACGAAUCCUUCAAUUGAGGUCAGAAUUGGCUCGUUGUAACCAAAAUGGUCAGAGUGUAGCUGCUUACUAUGGGAACCUAAAGAAGAUUUGGGAUGAGUUGUCCACAUAUAUAACAAGUAGAGCUUGCACUUGUGGGAAGUGUACUUGUAAGUGGGCUGCUGAUUUGAGCAAGGAACGUCAAGACGAACGAGUUCAUCAAUUCCUGAUGGGAUUGGAUGAUGAUAUGUAUGGGACGCUUCGUUCCAGCAUUAUUGCUCAAGAUCCGCUUCCUCCGCUGAACCGAGUUUAUGCGUUGGUGGUGCAAGAGGAACGCCACAAGAACAUGACGAAAGAACGUGAUGCACGAACCGAGGCAGUUGCUUUUGCUGUCCAUGGCAGUCCUUCAACUUACAGUGGAACGAAAGCAAGAAGCAAUAAAUAUAUCUGCCCAAGUUGUGGAAGAACCGGACAUGAGGUAACUUCUUGCUUCAAGAUCAUUGGCUAUCCGGAGUGGUGGAAUAAUGGGCGAGGGAGUGGCAAAGGUAACGUCAAAGGUAAAGGUGUUGAUUCUAGUACAGGACGUGGUCGUGGCAAAACUCCUUUUGGUGUUGCCAAUGCUGCUCAAUUUGCACCAAAUUCUGUCUUGACACACCAUGACAGAAACGUUGUUGGUCCAACCUUGACAGAUGAUCAAUGGGGAACCAUCUUGAAUAUGUUUAAGAGUUUAAAUAAUAAUAACCCCACUUCAAAUGAAAAGCUGAUGGGUAAGUCUUUUUCUCCAUGGAUAUUGGAUACAGGGGCAUCUUACCAUAUGACUGGUGACAAAAGAUUGCUCAAAGAUCUCUCAAAUAUUUUUCCUUUUCCUGUUGUGUUGCCUGAUGGAACACAUAAAAAUGCUGUCCAAGAAGGGACAAUAGCUCUUGGUGACAAUAUGACUAUUAAGCAUGUUUUAUAUGUUCCUCGAUUGACUUGCAAUUUGAUAUCUUUUGCACAACUGAUCAAAGAUUUAAAUUGUGUAGUCACUUUAACUGACAAGUUGUGUGUGAUACAGGACCGCACUUCGAGGAUGGUGAUUGGAAUGGGUGAAGAGAGGGAUGGGGUCUAUUGGUUUCGUGCAGCGGUGCCGAAUACUCACCUAUGUCAUGCAACUGAAGUUGAUUCCUAUCAAGUGUGGCAUUUAGGCAUGGCAAUGGGGCGGGGUGGGGACGGGUUUUACCUUCCCCGUCCCCAUACCCGAUUCUCAUAUACUUACCCGUUACCCUACCCAUAUCCAACGGGGAUGAGAAAUUGAAUCCCAUCCCCGUCCCCGACGGGUUCGGGUAUCCCCGCCCCAUCCCCGUCCCCGCAUUGAAUAAUUUUUUUAAUAAAAAAUAUAAGUUUUUUUUGCAUCCCCAAGAGCAACGUUGUAAUACAUUAUCCAACAAUAAGCUCACUUUCACAUUUGUUAGACAAAAUUAUUUAGUUGAUCCUUUAAAUAUCAAUAAAAGUUUUUAUUAACAUGACAAUUAUCAAACAAAAUAACAUAACAUAUCAACAUAAAGUAGUUUUUUUACAUUUGGGACGGGUUUGGGUAUGGGAACCCAUACCCAAACCCAGUCAAAACGGGGAAAAUCCGUCAAAUUGGGUUUGGUUCGGGCGGGUAACCACGAGUAUGGGUUUUGUUGCCAUGCCUAGUGGCAUCGACGACUUGGUCAUCCGUCGCCACAAAUAGUUAGUUUACUUCCUUUGGUUAGCAUUAGUGAUUGUCGAAAAAAUAAAGAUGAGCCAUGUGAUAUUUGCUUUAAAGCAAAACAAACUCGUGUAUCUUUUCUUGUUAGUUCAAGUAAUGAAAAUGAAUUAUUUGAGUUGAUUCACUGUGAUGUAUGGGGUCCAUAUAGUGUUUCUUAUUCAUCUGGUGCUUCUUAUUUCUUAACUAUUGUUGAUGAUUGCUCUAGAGGCAUUUGGAUUUACUUGAUGGCUAAUAAGUCAGAAGUUGCAAAAUUAAUUAAGAAUUUGUGUGCAAUGACUAAAACCCAAUUCAAUAAGAUAGUGAAAUGUAUUCGAAGUGAUAAUGGGACAGAAUUCACAUGCCUCCAACAUUAUUUUGCUGAACAGGGUAUUUUGUUUGAGACAUCUUGUGUUGGAACCCCCCAACAAAAUGGGCGAGUAGAACGAAAACACCGACAUAUUCUCAAUGUUGCUCGUGCCCUUCGGUUUCAAGCAAACUUACCUAUUGAGUUUUGGGGUGAAUGCAUUCUUACAGCCGGUUAUCUUAUGAACCGUACUCCUACCACAAUACUACAAGGUAAAACCUCAUAUGAAAUUAUCUUUGGUCACCCUCCUAUCUAUAAUCAUAUUAAAACUUUUGGAUGUCUCUGCUUUGCUUCCAAAAUUCCCCGUGACAGAAACAAGUUUGCAGCUCGUAGUCGGAAGUGUAUCUUUGUUGGGUACCCACAUGGAAAGAAGGGGUGGAGAUUAUACGACAUUGAAAAUCGAGAUUUCUUUGUUUCUCGAGAUGUUGUUUUUUAUGAAAAUCAUUUUCCCUAUAGUGAGCCUCCUCCAUCUAACCCCAAUGUUACAGAUUCUAUGAACCCUGCUGUUUAUGAAAUGGAUUCUGUAACUCCCACAACAUCAUUGGACACUGCUGAUACACAUGUUGAACCAACACCCCCUAUGGACUCAUCAUCUAGGGGGACAAAUGAGUUGUUAGCUUCUGCACUUAUCAAAGAAAGGGGGAGUGAUCCUAUUAUGUUAGAAGCAUCAUCUGCUGUUUCUCUUGAUGACACUAAUCGUCCAGUGGCACCAUCUGAAAGUGACAUUCGACGUAGUUCACGAGAACGCCAACCAUCAGUGCUUUUGAAGGAUUUUGUUUGUCAUACAACACGCUGCUUAGAUCCCCCCUCUUCUUCAUCUGCUCUAUCCAUGUCCUCAGGUACACGUUAUCCUAUAGCUAAUUAUGUCACUUGCCAACAUUUUUCUGCUUCCCAUGCUCGUUUUUCUAGCUGCAAUAACUGUCGGACAUGAGCCAACAUGUUUUUCUGAAGCUGUCUGAGAUCCUAAAUGGCGUGGUGCCAUGCGCAAGGAUAUAGAAGCACUUGAAAAUAAUGGCACGUGGACCAUUGAAGAUUUACCCCAUGGAAAGAAGGCUAUCGGGUGUAAGUGGGUGUACAAAAUCAAGUACAACUCUGAUGGCACGAUAGAACGUCAUAAAGCACGACUCGUUGUUCUUGGUAACAAUCAAGUUGAAGGUAUCGAUUAUAAUGAGACUUUUGCUCCUGUUGCUAAGAUGGUUUCUAUUCGAGUUUUCCUUGCAGUAGCUAUUGUUCGUGGAUGGGAACUCCAUCAAAUGGAUGUUCACAAUGCUUUCCUACACGGUGAUUUGGACGAGAAGGUUUACAUGUCUCUUCCUCCUGGUUUUUCUGGUGCUUCUCACGGAAGAGUAUGUCGUCUUCGAAAAUCACUUUAUGGUCUUCGUCAAGCCCCUCGUAACUGGUUUUCUAAGCUCUCUUAUGCGUUGAAGUGCUUUGGAUUUGUUCAAUCUUAUGCUGAUUACUCGUUGUUCUCCUAUGAAAGAGUCAAUCACAUUCUUCAUAUUUUGGUAUAUGUGGAUGACUUGAUCAUUGCAGGAAAUGAUUCUGGCUCAAUUUCUAAUUUCAAGGCUUAUCUGAGCACUUGCUUUCACAUGAAAGAUCUUGGUGUGCUGAAGUACUUUCUUGGUAUUGAGGUAGCUAGGGGACCAGAUGGCUUGUUUCUUUCUCAACGUAAAUACGCGCUUGAUAUAAUUUCUGAAUCUGGUUUACUUGGAACAAAACCUUGUGAUUUUCCCAUGGAACAGAACCAUCAGCUGCCUCUUGCUGCAGGCCCUGUUUUUGCUCAUCCUGAUCGUUACAGACGACUUGUUGGUCGCUUGAUUUAUCUCACUAUUACUCGCCCAGAACUUUGUUAUGUUGUUCAUACUCUUGCACAAUUUAUGCAAACGCCAAAAGAAGACCAUUGGAAUGCUGCACUUCGUGUCCUUCGCUACUUAAAGAGCCAUCCUGGCCAAGGUCUCCUUCUUUCUAAGGACAGUGCUUUACGUCUUACUACUUAUUGUGAUUCAGAUUGGGCGACUUGUCCUUUGACUCGUCGCUCUCUUAGUGGCUAUUUUAUUAUGUUGGGGGCCUCUCCGGUUUCUUGGAAAACUAAGAAACAACCAACUGUUUCUCGGUCUUCUGCUGAGGCCGAAUAUCGCUCUAUGGCUACUGCUAGUUGUGAGCUUAUUUGGCUCAAAUCCUUGUUAAAAUCUCUUGGUGUGCAUCAUUUGUUACCAAUGCGAUUGUUCUGUGAUAGUCAAGCGGCUCUUCAUAUUGUUGCAAAUCCUGUAUAUCAUGAACGUACCAAACAUAUAGAGGUUGAUUGUCACUUUGUGCGAGAUCAAAUCCAAGCAGGCAACAUUGUUACUUUUCAUGUUCGCACACAUGAGCAGCUAGCGGAUAUCUUCACAAAGGCCCUCGGGAAGCAACAAUUUCAAUUUCUUCUUCGCAAGUUGGGCAUUCGAGAUCCUCAUGCUCCAACUUGAGGGGGAGUAUUGGGAGAAUUAAUUACAUAUCAGCAUGACAGCAUGUGAUUGCAUAUCAUAUUUACUUCCUAGAAUAUUUCCUGAACAUAUUUAGCUCCAGUAAUAUCUCUUGUACAUAACUAGCUCAUAGAAUAUCUCAUGUACAUAAUUAGCUCCUGAUUUUUGGUAACGGUAGUAUGUGUACACUGUGUAUAAAUGAUUUUGUUGAUUGUCAAUGAAAGACACAAGUUUGCCUUCUACCAAUUUCUUUAGGUGGAUCAUAUAGUUGACGAUCAAGGUGUCUCUUUCACUGAGGAAGAAGAUAUCGGUAGAAUUUUGUCUAGCUUCUAUCAGAAUUUAUUCGCUUCGAGUUCUCCCAAUAGAGUGGAUGAGGCAGUUGAGGUGGUUAAGAAUAGGAUAUCGGAUGAGAUGCGUGCCAUCUUGGAUGAAAGAUUCACAGAGGAGGAAGUCUAUUGUGAAGCAAAAAAUUUAAAAGCACACUCUGCACCAGGUCCGGAUGGUAUGCCUGCAAUCUUUUUCCAACAAUUUUGGAGCAUAGUAGGCAGAGACAUCACUUCCUUUGCACUAAAUGUACUAAACGAUGGAGUGAAUCCAGGUAACAUUAAUCAUACUUUUAUUUGUCUCAUUCCAAAGAAAAAGAAACAAAAAGUGGCGAAUGAUUUUCGACCUAUAUCUCUUUGCAAUGUAAUAUGCAAAAUUAUUUCAAAAACUAUUGCAAAUAGGUUGAAAAUCAUCCUCUCCAACAUUAUUGGAAAAUUUCAAAGUGCUUUUGUUCCAGGGCGUUUAAUUACUGACAAUGCAUUAGUGGCUUUCGAAUCAUUCCAGUGGAUGAGAAAAAAAAGAGUGGCAAAAAGGGGUGUGUAGGCAUCAAACUAGAUAUGGCAAAAGCAUAUGACCGGAUAGAAUGGGAAUUCCUUAUUGCGGUGUUGAACUCAAUGGGUUUCCCUCAAAAAUGGCAAUCUCUUGUGUUGAAUUGUGUUUCUUCUGUGUCUUUUUAUGUGUUGCUUAACGGUAGCCCUUGUCAAAGUUUUAUUCCGCAGAGAGGGCUUCGCCAAGGGGAUCCUCUAUCGCCUUACCUGUUUAUUAUAUGUGCAGAAGUGUUUUCAGGUCUUUUGAUUAAAGCACAAGAAGAAAAAGUCUUGCAUGGGAUUGAAAUUGCACGUGGAGCUGAAGGCAAAUCGACAUGUACAGAAUAAGCAGCGGAAUAAAAUUCUCGAUUUACUUUCCUUGGAUCAUUACGAAUUGGAACUUGAACCAGUGAUUCGAUUGUUACCUUAGAACGAUUGGUCUGAAAACGAUCGGUGGAAUCUGCGAACCGGAAUCACGAUCACAGCCAAGCAAAUAGCAGAGCCUCUAUCAAGUCCACACGAACAGUGCUCCUCCAAAACCUCGGUGCUAGCCAAGAAGACGGAAGUCAGAGAACUAGGGUUUCUGCAAAAGAACGUAACCGCAAACUGUUGCACUAGGGUUCUAUUUAUAGAACUCCUUAUGUGCUUUGCAAGUCAAACUCGUUUUUGACUUCAUUAAGCCCAAUACGAGUUUAGUAAACUUUGCUAAAUCAUUAGCAUUAUUUACUAAGCGCACCCUUUAUAUAAGUCGUACUUAUACAUAUCUCUUUUGACUGUUCUUUGUGUGUGACCCUUUAGGUUCUAGUCACGUUGGCAAUAAUAUUAAAUCUAAUAUUUAAUAUUAUAAACAAUGAGCGGUAUCUAGCAACACAUCAUGGCUACCCAAGUGACAAGAAUGUCAAGUGAUCUGACGAAACCUUUCAUGAUAAUACAUAUGUGUAUAAUUACUCCUUUGUCUCAAUAUCUUCAUUGAUCCCAAGGCAUAGAUAGUGUCACCCUUGUAUAGAUCAAUGUUCAUUUAUCUUGAUUCCGAAAUAUACUAUUUAACGAAUAAGUCCAAUAUCUUAUAUUGACUUAGUUCGGCAUGGCCAUGCAUAUUUAUAGUCAUAUUUCAUCAAGAGGCCUAAAGAUAUAUCUCCUGUUUAUGAGGAGGGACAAAUCCCAUCUAGGACACUCAUGACCCUCAGCAUGAUUCAUCAAGUGCCCAUCAACCAACGUUAUUGUUAUCCUUUUACAGACAACGUUAGAAUGGCAACAAAGCACUUGAGUCCACAUCUAGAGAUCAUAGUGGUUUCAGGUCUAAGAGCGAUAUACAUUAUUAUCAUUGUGAGAAUAUCUUAUGACAAUUUCAUAACUUACUAUGUAGUAUUCUCACAGUGGGUCAAUCCAAUAUAAAUAUUACUCCUAAUAUUUAUAUCUAUGUAUAGACUUGAUAUCUCAUAUCUAUGACCCAUGAGAUGCGGUCAUCAGUCUACAUACAUAAUAGUCUCGACGCUUUAUUAUUAUCCUUUAUUCAUAUUAAAGCUUUGACUACGGAUACAUUUAAGAAUAGCGUUCUAUAAGAUAAUGUAAUCUCAUGAUUAAGUCACACUUAAUAUAUUAUUACACGAACUAUCUAUUCUAAGGACUUUAUUAACAUUAUCUAAAUAUAAUAAAGAGUGCCAUAUAUUAUACAAUAAUAAAAGUCAUGAUACAUAAGAUAAAUAUAACAUAAACUAUUGGCCUCUAGGGCUUACACCAACAGGAGCCCCCAAAAUAAGCCAUCUUUUCUUUGCAGACGACAUUCUCAUAUUUUGCAGGGACUCUAACCAAGAUGCCCAGACAGUGAAGGGUAUCUUAGAGCUCUAUCAAGCAGCCUCAGGCCAACUCAUUAACUUGGAGAAAUCAGAAAUUUCAUUUAGCCGAAACGUUACAGAAGAGAGAAAAAUCAUGUUCUAAGGUUGGAUGCAAAUUAAGGCGGUGGAAUGUCACACGAAAUACUUGGGCCUCCCGGCUUAUGUUGGCCGCUCCAAGCAACAAGUAUUUGAUUUCGUCCAAGAAAGAGUCUGGAAGAAACUAAAAGGAUGGAAAGGAAACUUUCUUUCCCUCACAGCCAAAGAGGUGCUUAUCAAAUCAGUUAUACAAGCAAUCCCCACUUAAGUUAUGAGCCGUGUCAAACUGCCGGAUGGACUGUGUGAUCAUAUUGAAGGAAUGAUUAGCAAAUUUUGGUGGGGUAGUAAGCAAGGUGAAAGAAAGAUUUCUUGGUUAUCUUGGAGUGUACUGUGUAAUGACAAAUAGGUAGGUGGUAUGGGCUUUAGAACGUUAAAGGACUUUAAUCUAGCCAUGUUGUCCAAACAAGGAUGGUGAAUGUUGCAUCAUGGAGAGAGCUUGUUAGCCACUUGCUUAAAAAACCUCUAUUUUCCAAGGUGUAAUUUCCUUCAGGCCGGAAUAGGCUUUAAUCCGAGUUUCACGUGGAGAAGCAUUGUCCAAGCUAGACUGGAAGUUAUUGAUAAAGCCGGUUUGUGGAGGAUAGGCAACGGCCAAAAUGUGAGAAUUUGGGAGGACAGUUGGUUACCUCACCAAUAUGGUCACAAAACGGUGAGUUUUCGGUUAAAUCUGCAUACAAAUUUCUUAAAGACAGGAGAGAAAGGUUGAACUCAAAUUAUUCUCACUGCUCUCUUCAAAACAGAGUGUGGAACAAGCUGUGGAGAGUCAAAACAAUACCUCGACACACUCAUUUAAUUUGGCGCAUUUUGCAUAACAGGCUGCCAGUGAAGUCUGCGUUGUUUAAUAGAGUUCAAUGUUCUCCCCUCUGCUGUUUAUGUGACCAGCACCAAGAAAGUAUUAACCAUUUAUUUAUGUAGUGUGGCUGGUCUAAAGCAGUUUGGUUUGCAUCGCCACUCGGUUUAAUCUUUGAUAUAAAUGGAGGUGAGCAGAUAUUAUUUAGUACUUGGCUUGAACAUGUUGUGGAGCAUGAGGAUAAUUGUACCAUCCAAUUGGUAUUUGAAAUCUAUUACGAGUUGUGGACUAUGCGGAAUAGAAGGUGUUUUGAUGGCGCUACAUUACCUAGUCCUGAAAUAGUGAGUCAAAGAGCAGGUGCUGCAGUUUCGAGCUUCAACGAUGCUUCUAAUUUUCUGCAAAAUCAAAGUUAUCUUCCUAUAUGCUGCAUUCUGCUGUUCGGUGGUUACCUCCCAGUCCCGACCAUUAUAAGUUGAAUGUCGAUGCUGCAGGCCCAGAUGAAAGUGGCAGUUGGGGGCUCGCGGCUGUUAUUCGAGAUUCCAAUGGAGUAGUGAUGGCUACAGCAUGUUGGUAUCGCCUUUCUCUACCUGAUUCUGAUGUGGCAGAAGGUCUAGCCAUGUUGUUGGGGGUUGAGUUUUCUAAAGACUCGUUGUUCCGUAAUGUUGAAGCAAACUCAGACUCAACAAAUGUGAUUGAAGCCCUCAAUAAUAGGCACAUGCAGUACACAUAUUUGGGUGCCAUAGCUAUGGAAUGUUCACAGUUAUGUUCUAGUUUUAACAAUAUUAACUUUUCUCAUGUUAGAAGAGAAGCUAAUCAAGCUGCUCAUUAUUUAGCUAAGUUUGCAAUCUCUAUUUCUUCUGAUCUUGUUUGGAUCAAUGAAUCUCCAUCUUGUAUUGAUGCUAUAGUGGCUCUUGAUAUAAUGCCACUUUUUGAUUAAUGAAAUAUCAGGUUGCUGUCAAGAAAAAAAAAAUAUACGCUAACCAACUUCCAAAUUCAUUAUAUCAAGAACAAAAUCUUCUAAAAGAAUUUUUCAAUUUUCCUUUGGGGAAAAUUGUGUUGAGUAGGUUGACAUGGUCGUCUUUGCAUAUAUGUUAUGCAUAUUGUCUCGUGGUCAUUAGAAUGAUAUACUGACAUUUUAAGCCGCUUUCCAGGAUCCGAUUGUAACUCUUCCAAAUUUAACUUGUUGGUGUUUAUACGUAACUCAUAAAAUAGGAAAGGAAAAACUGAAGCUUUAUUGAAUAAAAAACUGCUAUCAAAAUACAAAGCUGUGACUUAAAUAAAAACAAAUACAGAGUAACUAACUCCUAAUCUUUAGCCACUACUUUAUUAGCUAAUUUAAAAACUGAAAUAUUAAAACAAAUUCUCCUAAAGACUUGGUCAAUCAGUGCAGCUGGCAGUCACAACUGCUGAUACACACGUUCAACACUCCUCCUUGUAUCAGUAGUUGGAUAUUCCAAGUUUCUCCCUUAGUAACUCAAACCUGCCUUUUGGAAGAGCUUUUGUAAAGAUAUCUGACAGUUGGUCUUCAGUCUUGCAGUACUUCAAACACACAUCACCAUCCUUUUGGACAUCUCUGAGGAAAAAUAAUUUAAUACUAAAAUGCUUUGUUUUACCAUGAAAGACAGGAUUUUUGGAGAUGGCAAUGGCUGCCUGGUUGUCCACCAUUACCUCAGUAGUUUCCUUUUGCUCUAAAUGUAAAUCAGUUAGAACUUUUCUUAGCCACAAGGCCUGAUUAACAGCUGCUGUGGCUGCAAUAAACUCUGCUUCAGCUGUUGAUUGUGCAACAAUUUCUUGUUUUUUUGAACUCCAAGAGAAUAUCCCUGUCCCAGAACUAAAACAGUAGCCUGAAGUGCUUUUCAUGUCAUCUAAAGAUCCUGCCCAAUCACUAUCAGAGUAACCUUGCAACUUGAAUUUUUCCGAUCGACAGAACUUAAUGCCAUAAUUUAAGGUUCCCUUGACAUACCUCAACACUCUUUUUGCUCCUUUGAAAUGAGAUUCUUUAGCACAGUUCAUGAAUCUUGAAAGAACAUUUACAGCAUACAAAAUAUCUGGUCUUGUAGUUGUAAGAUACAUUAAGCAGCCAAUUAAACUUCGGUAGAGUGUUUCAUCCACUUGUUCUUCUUCAACAUCCUUGCAUAGCUUCUCCUUUGGACACAUAGGAGUGCUCAUGCUUUUACAGUAAUCCAUAUUGAAUUUCUUUAACAUCUCUUUUGCAUACUUCCUUUGACAGAUGAAUAUAUCACCAUUUUUCUGCUUAACUUCCAUGCCAAGGAAAUAAGACAUUUCUCCCAAGUCUGACAUCUCAAACACUUGCAUCAUAUCAUCCUUGAACUGUUGAAUCAGUUCAGCACUGCUGCCAGUAACUAGGAGAUCAUCAACAUAUAAAGAGAUCACCAAAAAAUUAGCUUCAUCACCUUUGAUAUAUAAAGUGGAUUCACUUAGACUUUUAACAAAGCCUAACUGCACUAAGUACUCAUCAAUCCUGCUGUACCAAGCUCUUGGAGCUUGUUUCAAACCAUACAAGGCCUUCUUCAAUAGAUAGACCUUAUCUUCAUGCCCUUUCACAACAAAACCUUCAGGUUGCUCAACAUAUAUUUCUUCCUCUAGAAAUCCAUUUAAAAAUGCUGACUUGACAUCAAGAUGACAUAUUUUCCAUCCCUUUUGUGCUGCAAUAGCUAACAACAUUCUAAUAGUAUCUUGCCUUGCAACUGGAGCAAAUGUAUCAAAGAAAUCUACUCCAAAAAUUUGAGCAUACCCUUUAACCACUAAUCUGGCUUUAUGCUUGUUGAUUGAUCCAUCUGCGUUUAGCUUUGUUCUAAACACCCACUUCACCCCUAUGACUCUUUUGUGCUCAGGCCUUUUAACAAGUUUCCAAGUCUGGUUUUUAUCAAUCAUGGUAAGCUCCUCCUGCAUUGCAGCCCUCCAUUUGGGAUCUUCUUUUGCAUCCCAAUAUCCUGCAGGUUCAAGGACUGCAACAUUGCAUCUUUCAUAAACAUCAGAAAGCAAUCUGGUACCUCUUACAGGAGGAUCAUCAACUAACUCAUCUAGAUUUUGCAAAGGAUCAGCUAUUGGCUUAUUUUCUGUAUCAUUCCAGUUCCACUGCUCAUUCUCCAUGAACUGCACAUCCCUGCUUAUCAAAAAUUUUCCUGUGUUAGGUUGGAAAACUCUAUAAGCUUUAGAUGUUGAGCUAUAACCCACAAAUAUACCAGGUUCAGCUUUCUUAUCUAACUUGUCUCUUUUAAUUUGUGGCACAUAAGUAAAACACAAGCAUCCAAAUAUUUUAAAAUUUUUCAAGAGAGGCUUGUAACCAUACCAAGCUUCAAAAGGAGUCUUUCCGUCUACUGCUUUGGUGGGAAGUCUGUUAAGUAAAAAUACAGCUGUGCUUGCAGCCUCUGCCCAAUAUUCCUUAGGCAACCCUUUCUCAUGAAGCAUGCAUCUGACCAUUUCCAUUAUUGUCCUGUUCUUCCUUUCACUCACUCCAUUUUGUUGAGGGGUGUAAGGAGCUGUAAGUUGAUGCUCAAUGCCUGCCUCCUCACAGAACAUAGUGAAUUGUGUUGAUGUGUACUCAGUGCCAUUGUCAGACCUCAAAACUUGAAUCACACAGCCACUUUGUUUUUCAAUCCAAUUCUUAAAUCUCCAAAAUACCCCAGCAACCUCUGACUUGGACUUGAGAAAAUAAAUCCAGCACAUUCUGGUGUAAUCAUCUAUAAAGACAAUGUAGUAUUUGCUCUCAUUAAGUGAAGCUGUUCUUUGCGGUCCAGCCAGAUCUGUGUGAAUCAGUUGCAGCUUCUCUGUUGCUCUCCAGGUUGCUUGCGUGAACGGUAAUCUUACUUGCUUACCAUACUGACAUGCCUUGCAGCUUGGUAAUUCAGCAUCUAAGUGAGGCAAACCUUGAGCCAAAUUCUUUCUUUGCAAAUUCAAUACUGCUGCAUGAUGAAAAUGGCCUAAUCUUUUGUGCCAUAUCUCUGUACUAUUAACAAUAGCUGGAUAAGCUAUUUGCUCCUCCUUCAUUGGAUCAAAUGAAAAACUUUUGCUUCUCAUUUUAAUGCUGAAAAUUACCUUAUCAUUGGCAUCUUUGAUCAAACAUUGCUUAUUUUCAAAGAUGACUUUAAAUCCUUUAUCAAGUAAUUGACCCACACUCAACAAGUUUUGAUCAAUCUCAGGUACAUAUAAAACAUCAGAAAUUAGCUUUGUACCUGUGCAACUUUCAAUGGCCACGGUUCCUUUUCCUUCAACAGCAAUCAGUUUACCAUUACCGAUUCUGACUUUUGAUAUUUGUGAUAUGUCCAGCUCUCUGAAUAUUUCUUUAUCAUGGGUCAUGUGAUGGGUACAACCACUAUCCACUAGCCAACAUUCACUUGAGCUACUGCUUGUAAAACAUGUUGCUACAAACAACUGCUCUUCCUCUUCUUCUUCUUCUUCUUCUUGAUCUUCAGCUUGAGCCUCAUUACUUUGUUGAAAAUUGCUUCUGCAAAUUCUCUCGUGAUGCCCAAGUUUGUUGCACUUGUCACACUUCACAUCAGGUCUUCUCCAACAUUUGAAAGGAGGAUGACCGAAUUUUCCACAAUGCUUGCAAGGAGGAAAUUCUCUAUUUUUUUCUUCAUUUUUGUAGCUAGUGCUUCCAACUGCUUCUUGUUUGUUGAAACUCUUCUUAUACUUAUUUCCCAUGCUCUUUUCUCCUUUGUUGAUUUUUAAUUUAGCUUGUAAUGCUCCUUCCACUGAACCUUCAGACCUUAUCAUUCUUCUUUGUUCUUGGGCCUGCAUAGCAUUUACAAGCUCCGCCACGGUAAGCUUUGACAUGUCCUUGGUAUUUUCCAAGGAAGUGAUGGUUGCUUCAAAUCUUUCAGGGACAGUCACGAGUAUUUUCUGAACUAUUCUUGAAUCAGACAAUUCAGAACCAAGCAAUCUUACUUUGUUAGCAAUGCUAAUAAGUUUAUUUGCAUACUCUUUAAUUGUUUCAGACUCCUUCAUCUUUUGCAUCUCAAAUUCUCGAAUCAAAUUAAGCGCUUGCAUUCCCCUAAUUCUUUCAUCUCCUUCAUAUUCAGUUUUGAGGAAAUUCCAUAUUUCAAAUGCUGAUUUGAUGGUCAUAAUUCUGGUGAAGAUUUCUUCUGAGACAGCAGCAAACAAAGUAGCUCUUGCUUUUGACUUUCUUGUUUUCCUUUCCUUGUGAUUUUUUAUCUGAGCCAUUGUUGGAUUGUCUGACAAAGGAAGAACUUCGUAGUCCUCCUCAACAGCUUCCCAGAGGUCAUUUGCCUCUAAGUAUGCCUCUAUUCUUGCUGCCCAUAUAUGAUAGUUUUCACCAUCAAACACAGGUAAUGGUAGGGCUUUGUAGGAUGUUUCAGAAUCCAUCUGAUUGAUGAAAUGAAAGGUAGUGUUUAAGCUUUUAUGGUGGGUUUCACUCACUUCACUCACAAGUCCCUCUAAGAAGAAGGCUCUAGAUACCAAUCUGUUGGUGUUUAUACGUAACUCAUAAAAUAGGAAAGGAAAAACUGAAGCUUUAUUGAAUAAAAAACUGCUAUCAAAAUACAAAGCUGUGACUUAAAUAAAAACAUUAACAAAUGCUGAGUAACUAACUCCUAAUCUUUAGCCACUACUUUAUUAGCUAAUUUAAAAACUGAAAUAUUAAAACAAAUUCUCCUAAAGACUUGGUCAAUCAGUGCAGCUGGCAGUCACAACUGCUGAUACACACGUUCAACAUAACUUAUCAUGUUAUUUAGAACUAGAUUCUUGCGCAUUUGAUGGUGUAACCGUUCCAAAUUUAAUUGAACAUGUUGAGAAUUAGAUUCAUGCUCAUUUGAUCUGAACUUUCUUUUUAAAAAAUCUCUCCAUAAUCUCAUAUAGCAACAAAAACAAGGUAUGUGAGUGAUUAGCAACAAUACUCAACAUAUAAAUCAUCCAACAUAUAGUAAAACACAAGCAAUGAAGUAAAAUACAACAUUCUUCAAUAGGAAGGCGCCAAGACCCAGGCGCAAAACAUGCUCAGUUAAACAAUGAAACCAAAUUUGUUUCAAUCACAUUUUGGUUCUCUGGAUCUCUUUGAUGUCCUUUAGGUCUUACUGAUUUUGCUCUUUAUCUUGUCGUAGAUAUUGCAUUUUCAAUACUUAUGGAAAAUUCCUUUUAUUCAUAACUACCUUGUUUUUGUUAUAUAGUUAUUUUAUGCUAAAAGCAUUCAUAGAAUUACGCUAUCUCCUUUCAUAUUUAUUUUCUUGUAAAAUUUUACAAGAACUUGAUGUGUUGAAAACAUUAGCUUAAGUUACUUUGCAUUGUUAUCAUCUUCUUUUCACAUGAACAGAAAUUAGGAAGAUCCUUCACUUCAUAUUACAACAACAAAGCAAAACAAUAAAACCAAUUUCCAAAUACUGCAAUUACUAUCAUUGUUGAUUUUACACUAGCAAUCAAUACUUAAAUUGAUUGCAAUCAAUACUUAAAUUGAUGUGAAUACCUAUACUUAAAUUGAAUAUAAAAAUGAUUUAAUUCAUUGUUGAUUUUACACUAGCAAUCAAUAUUCAAUCAUAAUCAGGUUAUUUAAAACCUUAAAUUUUAACCAUAAUUAUUUCUUAAGUCCUUUAACUAAAUUAUGUCUAAAGUUUCACAUACGAAUGGUUGCAAUUUAUCGACAAUGUAAAACUUAAUAGUAUGCAAAAAUCAAUCUAAAAAAUAUACACAAAGAUAUAUUUUUUUUUUCACAUAUAAAGUCUCAGCUAAUUUUCAUUAAAUAUCACAUAAUCAAACAUUUAGGAACAUCAGCAUAAAGCUCGGAGCAAGCAUUAUUACGAUCACCGACUAAGCAUUAUUACGAAACUCAAUUUCAUUACUUCAUUCAAGUACAGGACCAGAAGAAAGUUAUCAACAGGCUGAAAACAUAGUAUUCUAGGAUUUGAUUUUACUGAUAGGAAAAUGCUAACGCAUAUUAAAAGCUAAACGAUAGGACACAAGAGCGUCUUAAAAGCUGUCCAAAGUACUUGAUUCGACCACACACAUCUAUCUCCAAAUCAAAUUACAGCUCCACAUGUACACCAGUACUAUCCUAAGCUAUCAGGAAUGGCAGGACGGUCAGCAUAAACGCCUCAUAGGAAAAUGUUGCAGAGCCGGUAUACCCUGUAUCCUUCUCCUUGAAUUUGUCCGUUAGUCCCUGAAAUACACACAAACUAAAGUCAGAUAUUUUGUCUUGCCAAAAGGAACAUAUCGUAAAUUAAAUUAUAGCUACCUAAGUUAGAACAAAAUUUAUGGCUCAUACUAGGAUAUAAAACCAGGUUGAAUAUGUUUCAUGCAUUCAACUGAAUAGAACAAAAAACAAAUCACAAAAAGGAAUGUGUACUUUUGUAGAGUUGACUACCAAAAAAAGAACAUCAUGCCAUCAUGAAACCAUAGGAGAUUGGAAGUGAAAAUCAAUCUCUUGUUACACGUGGCUGGCUGCUAAUGAUAAAGCUAAGCAAACGCAUUACAUAUCCAUAAUUCACCAAACAUUCUUUGUGAUAAUAAUGUUUUGCUUUUCAACGCAGAAGUUUUAAUAACACACUAACAGCAAACAUUUAAAAGGUUGUGUAUAUAGUUUUGUUAGUGUACUAUGAAUGCAAUUCUAUCAGCAGUGCCUAAUGUUAUGCUACCGAAGUCCUGAAACCCCUAUAACUUUCCUUUUGCUUAUUUUCUUUUAACACAUGGUCUCCAAUAAGAAUAGUAAGAUGUAAUUUUAAUUGCAGAAACUGGUAAAAUUAUAAAAUGUGUAUUUCAAUAGCUCACCUUCACAGUAAGACAACACCUGCAACAGCAAACAAAGGAAGAGAAUCAAUUUAGCAAUCCAUUUUACACCAAAACAGACAAGGACAAACAUAAAUCAUAGUUCUGGUAUAUAGGGAAAAUUUCAACUUUAUUGAAGGUUUCUUCAGUUUAAACAAUGAAAGUUGACUUCAAACUAAAAGACAUAAACAAACAAAAAUAUGAAUAUAUCAAUAUAACAAAUUUUUUAAGUGGUUGGGUUGGGAGAUCAAAUGGUAUAGUUCUUUUGUUGGUAAAUUGGAGGAUUAAAAAAACAUGAUUACUGCUUUUCAACUAGUUGUUCUUGUGUUAAUUACUACUUUGUCCAUUUUCAUCGAAAAUUCAAGUGUCCAAGGCUUUAGAGUUACAACUUUCAUCUCUUUUUAGUCAUAAUAAAAUAACAUACUGUACCUCUGGAAAACAAGACACCUAGACCAAAUCCUUUUUAAUUAUAUAAAAGUAAAUCCAAUAAAAGAAAAAGAGUUGUAGCAAAGCAAUACUCGAUGAAAUUGUCAUAUUCGACGGCUUUGUUUUUGCCACCAGUUUUGUCAAACUUGGAGACGAGCAAGUCCAAUACCACAGGAGAAACAGCAUAACCCAAACUCAACAGCGCAUCUCGCAACUCAUUUGAAUCAAUUUUGCCACUCCUAUCCUUGUCAAAUCUCUCAAAUAUUCCCUGAAACAACAACCAGUUAGUUAGAAGAACACUGUUUCAUAAGGACAGUAUAGUUUGUCUAAGUGUGUGUUUGGCUAAGUAUUUCAUAAACAUAAUUUUGAAAGAAUAUGAUUUAGAAGAACUAAUUUAGUUAAAGCUAAGUUUUAAGAGAAGUAAUUUAUGAGUGUAUAUUUUCCCUCAAGCGACAAGUUUGAUGCAAAGCUUGGUAUAAAAUUUUCAACCCUCAUGCAAAAGUUACCAUCAUAUUAAUGUUGAUUUAAAAUAACCACCACACCAUAUUGAUUUUCACUAUAAUCAUGCUUGAUAGGUAAAAUCAAUGUUAACUCUUUCCAUUUUGAAUUCAAACACACACUAAGUUGAGAAUUAAGAUUAACUAGGGGAAAACUUCGAAAAAAGGAUGAAAAUACCCUCCAGCUCUGAAGACUGUAAAAUAGAGAAGUGAAUUCCUUGGGUCCUGCAUUACAAAGUCCAAAAUUCAAGCAGUGAAGAAUGAAGAUGGAGAAAAGUUUUAAUUACAACCAAUCAUUGAACAGCACGUUAGAUUAAGGGAAGCAGAAUAUAUUGCAUAAAGAAUAAAACAACAGUAGCUAGAUAAUAGAUAUAAAUAUAAAUAAAUAAUCUAAUUUCUGCAAAAGUACAACUUGGACAUCGAACUAGGAUAUCUAUAGCAGAUAUGGUAUCUGUAACAAGGCAGUUACAGGUUAAACAUUUCACAUACUACAUAUCAAGCUCUGGAUUGAACAGUAAAUAAUAAUGCCAAUUAUGAGUAAUUGCUGAAUGUGCAUAAGUAGGGUUUGCUGAACAUUGUUUUAUAAAGUAAUUGAUUUGAUUAAAAUUGAAUUCGAAACAAAGUAAUUUAUAUUUGAACGCUUUUAAGCUAGGAGGAUGAUGUAAAAUCGUGUUCAUUUUUUAACUAUUCAAAAGAUAUUUUUUACCACUUCUAAUCAAAUCAAGGUUGAAGGCAAAAUUAACUGUCUAAUAAUAACCACACCUCAAUGGCAUUAUACUAAAAUGGUGAAACCACGUAUAGACUCAAAUUCCCUCUAUAUAAUAGAUUCUAGCAUACUAAUGCAACACUUUAACUUAUAUCCUACUAAAAGAACAAUCUAGUAGCAGGGGAAAUAGUUUUCAAAAAUAAAUCCUUAGAGGUUUUAACAAACACUGGGUAAUUUUUCACAAAUAUCAGUAUUAAAUUGAAACAGCCAAGUUUUAGAAUAUAAAAUUAAUUUUCCAACUGUUGUAGCCUAAAGUCGAACCUUGUAUGGAACUUUUUUGGAAAGACAAAUGUUAGUAUGGUGGUGUAUGUUAGAGUUAUGUUGUGUGUGGAGAUAGUAGAACCCUCAACCUCCUUAUCAAUUAUCACUCAACUCCUUAACUCUUCAAUCCCAACCACGAAGUCAACCUUAGCGUAUGUUUGGAAUGGCAUCAGAUUUGGACAAAAUCGCGUUGAAAACGACGGCAACCCAGAAGCUUGAUAUACUAGCUUCAGAAUUCUCACGGCAACCGUGCAUUGGGACGCGGUAAUGGAUUGGCAAAUGUUUAUUCAAACACACACUUAAAUUCCCAAACAUGUAUCCAUUUAUCAUACAACUCGUUAUAACCAAAAUUGAUUCUUUUAAAGUUUCCCCAAGAGAAAUAACAAUCCCUUAAAUCUUUUUACCGCAAUUGUUAUAGAUCGCAGUAAACAGGGGUGCUCGGAGAAGGCAAGGAAGUUUACAGAGCUUUGAGAGAGAUUUAGACUCAAAUGGAAUCAUAUUAACAAAAGAUGGAACUUGACUCUUCUAAAGUGAGCAAAUAAAGGGUGUCAUUUCACAAACUAGUGUUUUGUUAUGAUAUACUUGCAAUAUCCACCUCUGAUUUGUUGUUAAUGAGUGCUCCAUAAUACUCUACUCUCUAGAGGAGUCGGAUCGCAAAAAAAGUGUGAUAGUAUCCAUUUGAAUCCUUUUUUUUUUUAUGGCAAAUGUUAGUAUGUUAGUUAUUAUGUAAGUAUUUUUCUCCCUAGCCAAUAUUCGAACCAUGGACCUUCGCUCCUUACCUCCUUUAAUCCCUUAGCUCAAUCAAGUUAGCUUCCCAUCCUCGAGUAUCCAUUUGAGUCUAAUUGUCUCUUAAUGAACUUUAUGGUUCAUUACAGAAAGGAUAUUAAACAGCUAAAACUAGUUUACAAUGGAUGACUUAUAAGCUAGAUUAUAGCUCAUAGUGGGUAAGCUAGCUAACUGAAUUUGUAGUGUUUGGUAAAAUUGGCGAUUGAAGUAGCUUAUAAAUGUGAAAAAACACAAAAAAAUGUUCAUUUAAUUAAUAUUUAUUUCUUCCAAUUAAGAAGAUUGUAGGGGUAAAAUGGAAAUAAAAAGUGACAAGUUAUAAGAUUUAAGCUAUAAGCUACUUGAAUUAGCUUAUCAAAAACCACUAUGAACUCAUAAAAAUAAGAUGUAAGGUCGUGUAAAAUAACAGUUAUCAAACAGGUCUUUUCAAUUAUACCAGCUUAUAAACUAUAAAUUAAAAGCUCAGUUUUAUGUCUUACCAAACAUAGCCGUAAUAUAAUUUUUUAUUAUAUGCAGGAUUAUUAAAUAAAUAAAUUAAAACACAAAUAGACUCACCAACAAAAAUAGUAAAAUUUGCGUAAAAAAACAAAAUAUUUUAAAAAAUAAAAAAUAAUAAAAUAAUAAAAUAAAAUAAAAUACUCUUUAAAAAGAAAGUUAGACCCCAAAACACACACGUGGAAUAAAAAUACGAAGCAGCCGCGUCCAAUGGAUCCUAUUAUAACAAAACGACAAAAAAAGUCCCCGCGUACGCAACUUAAUUCUAAAUAAAAGCAUUUACUAUACGCCUUUUCGAGAGCAGAGCAGGUAAACCAAAUCGCAUGCAAUUAACUAUAACGGUCAACCAUUUAGUGGUGUCAUAGUACGAUUAAAACGCGUAUGACAAAGGGUAUAAGGGUCAUUACAAUGCAUGCGUACUUUAUCAUCGUACGCCGGAAAACCCAUUUCCACAGAGCAAAUUAGCAGAAAACCUAGUUUCACGAAAUCGGAAUGAAGAGGAAAAGGUACGUACCGAUCUUCUUGACAUUGGUGUUGGUGAAGUGAUACAUGAGAAGAUGAACAGUUCUCAAACUGAAGCUCUGAUUGUAAGAAGACAAAGCCCUCUGCAAUUCUUUAUCAUCGAUCAAACCACUUCCAUCUUGAUCCGCCACUUGAAAGCAUGCAACGAUGCUUGGAUCGGUACCGGGAGGGAAUGUUGACGGAACCAGUGAAGCGAACGGGCUUGCGUACGCCGGUGGUGGGUAGGUAGCGCCACCGCCGCCGGAGGAGUGAGAAUCUUCCUUUGGUGGUUUCUGGUAAGGGGCGGCGUAAGGAGCGGAGGGUUGGCCGUAGGAGGUGGGGGGUGGUGCGCCGUAGGAUUGAGAUGGCGGUGGUGCGCCGUAGGAUUGAGAUGGAGGAGGAGCGCCGUAGGAUUGGGAUGGUGGAUGUGAGCCGUGGGAUUGAGAUGGAGGAGGGGCACCGUAGGAUGAUGGUGGAUGUGAGCCGUGAGAUUGGGAAGGAGGUGGUGCGCCGUAGGAUUGGGAAGGAGGUGGUGCGCCGUAGCCGUAACCGUAACUGGGAGGUUGAUUUGGGUAGCCGGACAUGUUGAAGAGUGAGAGGGUUUGUUAGAGAAAAUUAUAUGAGUGAAGAAGAGCAGAGACAAAUGAUAGUGGAUUUUGUGGAGGUUCUGGAUUUAUAUACAGCUACUCCUGAUAUAUGCUGAGGUGGAAUGGUUAUGUGGUUUUAGAAAAAAAAAAAUUGUCCUAAAUUAUACGUCGCUUUACAAUACCAAUGAAAUAUUUAUGUUAUUUUUUUUAUUAUAUCCUUAAUUAUUAAUUACUCUAUCUUCUUUCAAUUAUUUCAUUUAUUUUUUUCAUACCAUUUAUUAAGGAUAAUUUUGUAAAAUAACUCAUAAUUUCUCUUCUCUACGCAAUAUUAAUUACAUUUUUUAAUACUGUGAAAUGGUCAAAAC
This 57877-nucleotide long non-coding RNA is filed under the name Medicago truncatula (barrel medic). Its description in RNAcentral is "long non-coding RNA (MTRU_LNC002431)". The record is from RNAcentral. Lineage: Eukaryota; Viridiplantae; Streptophyta; Magnoliopsida; Fabales; Fabaceae.